UCCCACAAGGUCCUUUAAAGAUACCGCCAUUGUAGUGAUUGAAGUAAUAAGAGCUAGCAUCAAUAGCAAUAACUGUCGGCUGGUUCGCCACAGCAUACAUGAUCGCACGUUCAUUGUAGCUAGGUUGUACCUGUUGAUAGCCGGUAAUAUAAGCUGCGUUCGGUUUGCUAUUUGCAGCGCAAGUGCCUUUAUAUCCUACAUAGGGAUAGUUCGCCUGCGCGGUCACGCCCUUGUUAGCGAUGAUGAAUUCGUAGGCUUUGUGCACCCAACCAGAUGUGCACCCGUUGCUAACAGUACAAUCUAAAACUUCUUGCUCCGAUAGAGAUAUUAGUUGUCCUGUUUUGAUCUUGUAGAUGCCUUCUACCGUCGCGAUUGAAGAGAAUGCCCAGCAAGAACCUAAUUUCAAAACAUAUAUUCAAGUAAUUAGCACAACUGGUACAAGCAAAAGUUUCGUAGAUUAUUAAUUAAGAUGUAAGAAGAACAUUCAAACAAGUAUGGACAAGGUGGAAAUAUUGAUUACUGUAUUACUUUAUUAUCUAUGUUGUUUACUUGUGUGAAAAUGAUUAAUGUCGUCAUACUUCUUGUCAGAAAUUAAUUUUUCUAGAAACUUAAACUAUCGAAGAAUGAUUUCUAAUUAUUAAGAAUUAAUACACCUUACGUGUAAUCUACAAAUUUAUAGAUAGUAGAUGAUAACGUGUGUUCGUACACUUUUAGUUCGUCUGAGACAUGAACCUUGCAUUUAAAUGCGGUAGAGGUUUGAUUUCUUUGUCAACAUAAAUGGCUGAUGGAACAGUGAGAUUUGGGCCCAAGGCAUCCUAUUCUCAUCAGGUUAAUUAAAAAAUAAAAUUUGUAAAGGUUCAGGAUGCUAUAGCUAGAAAUUAAUGUGCUUUAGUUCUCUAAACUCAACACUUGAUUCUUACCGCAAGAGCCUUGAUUCUUGACUGGUGUGACGGCACCGUAAUCCCUCCAAUCAAUGCUUUGAGGUAUCGCGGACAUGUUUACAUCCUCAAACGACACCGAUGGCUCUAAAUUUGUCAUAUUUAGAGGAAGAGAUAGACCGACAUGCUGAGCCACAAUUUCAUUAUUUGUCAUGUCAGCGAAUUGGUUAAUGCCCAGAGUAUACGAGUUUCCGCCACGCCUGUUAAAGGCUUCGAUGCGGUUUACAUUGUCUUUAAAGAUCUCAAAACGGCGCAUCUUCUCAGCAUCGUCACUGUAAACUCGGCCGAAAUCAGCCAUCCAUUCUUCAAACCUCUUCAUCAUCGAAUCAUCUGCUUCGCCGCGAGAAGCCAACGACGAAGCCCACAUCACAGAAAGAAACAAAAAAAGAAACAAUAUUUGGAAUUUGGAAGCCAUAGCUCUGACUUACAAAUGCUUUUGUUGCUGAGAGUUAGGCUCUCCGCAUCGAGUUUAUAUAGAAGUUCUCGGCCCAUGCACUAAAGUUGCUGGACCAUUAAAUNUCGAAUCAUCUGCUUCGCCGCGAGAAGCCAACGACGAAGCCCACAUCACAGAAAGAAACAAAAAAAGAAACAAUAUUUGGAAUUUGGAAGCCAUAACUCUGACUUACAAAUGCUUUCGUUGCUGAGAGUAAGGCUCUCCGCAUCGAGUUUAUAUAGAAGUUCUCGGCCUAUGUACUAAAGUUGCUGGACCAUUAAAUUUUAAUUUUUUAAAAACUUUUUUUAGAGGAAAAGAUACAACGUGCAUGUGAUGAAAUCAUUAAUUAAUUUCUCUCUUAUCCAUUGUUCGAUAGGAAAGUCGCAAUCAAGAGAGGUACAACUUUUCACUCCGUACGCGAGAGUUAUAGUGGCUGAGCUUGCCCCUCCAUGUGUGUUGACGUACGUCGUUGCAUGAUUGAUAAUACAGCAUGCGUUGCACAACAGGAAUUAAAAAUACAGCAUGUGCAUGCGCAACAGGAAUUAAAAAAUACAGCAUGUGUCGCACUAUAGGAAUAAGAAUAAGAGCCGCACAUAAUUUUAAAAUGAUAUAUGUACAUUAACAAAUAUUAUUAUUGUUUACAAUAGCUCUUUUUCUUUUUUUUUUCUUUUUUUUUUGAGAGGAAUCUCAUCAAAAAUAGAGAAUUGUCUAGAUAUCUAUCGUUUCCUGAUGUGUCGAUAUGUUGAAGGUGUUUUGGAUUAUAGUGGCGUUGGACCACAACAUACAUGUGAGUAGUUUAGAUAUCAUGUUAUUUUCUGUAGAUAUUUAAGAUUUCGAUAAAUUGAACUACAUGUCUCUAUUUUUUAAAAAAUUUGAUAUAUAUUUAAGACAUGACUCUUUCAAUUAUAUCAUGCUAGUUCUUAUUCUGAAUAAAAAAAAGGGCUAAAUUUUUUCUGAGUAGAUUUUUCUUUUUUCUUUUUCUUUUCUCUCUCUCUCUCUCUCUCUUUUGAGACCUAGUAGUCUUAUAUUUUGUAGCUAAGUUUAUUUUCGAAAUGAAUGAAGCAGAUAGCUUGCUAUCUUUUUCUCAAAAAAAAAAAAAAAAAAAGCUUAAAUUGAAUCAGUCAAACCUAUCCCCUGCUGUGUAUCAGUUACAACCUCAAUUUUAAAUAUGUUGAAAGGCAAAUUGCACUAAUAAUCUCAACAAACUUCUAUUUUUAGUCCUCAAUUUUAAGUUUUCAAUAUUUGGGACUCGUGACUAUCCAUUCUAGUGCUUAGUUAAAAAAAGUAAAAAAUACAAAAAAUUACGAGCAAAUUAAGCUAAAUUGUAGAAAAGCUCCUUACAUAUGUUGGAUUUUACACUUUUUCUUCAAUAUUUAAACUAUCAGCCAAAUCAUUAUAUACUUUACAACCACUCGCACCAAUAUAAAUUAAGAAGCGAAAAAAGUUCUAAUAUCGUGUUAAAGAACUGAAUCUAAUCAAAACAAAGUCACGGUAAAGAUAACUCUCACAUUAGAUGUACUAUUUAAUAUUAUCUAAUAAUAUAACCAAACAAGUACUCUAUAGAUGAGCGUACAUGCUAUCAGAAGCAGUCGAUGAGCUUCCCGUGCCUUCCAAGUCGUUUUGACUGUUGCGACUUGCGAAUCGUCGAUCGACUCCGUUAAACUUGAUCUAGAGUAUUUGAAGUACCUAGAAAAUAAAUUUUAUGAUUUUACGAUAUCAUUUGCCUAGUGAACGAAGGAGCUCAAAAUCAACGGCUGAAAAUAAAAAUCUUACAAAAUAUAAUAAUAUGACAUUAAAAUUUUAAAUCAAAGAUAUUUAUCUUGUUUUAUAUAGUAUAAAGAAUUUUCUAUCAAAAUUUCACGUGAUUUGGAUAUUUCUACACCGUUAAACUUGCAAACGGCUCACUACGGCCAUUGAAAUUUGUUGAUUUUGAGCCCAUUCGAUCACUAGGCAAAUAAUAUCGAAAAAUAAUAAAAUUUAUUUUCUAGGUACUCCAAAUACUCUAGAUCAAGUUUAACGGAGCCGAUCGACGAUUCGAAAGUCGCAAUAUCGAAAACGAGUUGGAAGCACGGAAGGCUCCGUGCUUCCGAUAUCAUAGUAGCCUCACUCCUCUAAUAAUAUAAUUUUGUAUUUUGUAUUUCAAUUAUAUAUACUUUCCAUAUUGACCCUCACAUUACCCCAUAAAUAUUCAAAACAAAUAAAUCUACAAAAAUAUUUUUUUUUGAGAUAUUUUUGUAUCAUAAUGUUGCAUGUGCAUGUGCAUGUGCAUGACUUUUCAAAUUGCCUGGGACAAAAAUAUUAUAUGUUUGGGGACUUUGCGGAUCGGCGCCACGUGGUCGAUUCAAUGGUCACGGAUCUCAGUUGCUUUUUCUCUCUCUCUAAAAACACAGAAUUUUUUUUUUGUCUUUCCAUCCGUGGCCAUCGGAUCGGCCACGUGGCACCAAUUUGCAUAGUCCCAAACACAUGCCCAUAAAAUUUUUGUACAAUUGUCUGGGGGCCAUCCCAAUAAUUUUGCAGCCAACGCAUUCAAUGCGGUGACAACUUAAAUUUAAUUAUUGGAGCAAGAAAAUGUGAAACCCUUAAACUUUAAGCGACUUUGAAAUAGCUCCUCAAUAUGGUUUUUCCCUCAUUGCCAUGUUUUAUAUUAGUUUAGGGUGUGUUUAGUUCUACCUAAAAUUGUUCCAAUUUUUUUUUUUCGGUUGAAAAGUAAAAUCUCAAAACAGAACCAGAAACCAUAAUGUCGAAGCAAACAACAGAACCAGAAACCAUAAUGUCGAAGCAAGCUUAGCAAUUGGAUGCAGCAAACAUCCAUAUUUAUGCAAGUUAAGCAAACAAGAUAGCAAACUGCAGUGUUGCUAAAUCAUUUGCUUCCCACUUAUUAAGAUGAGCACAAUGUCGAAAAAAUAUUAUUAUUAUACUUUCAAAAAUACAAUUAAUUUAUUAUUGAUAAUGUGGUAUAAAUAUGAUACGGUAAAUUUUCUCAUCGUCAUUUGUUUGGACCGAUACGAUGUAAUCGGGAGGGGUACAACUUUCACUCUUACGCAAGAGUUAUUGCUGUUGAUGUGUUGUUUAUUGGGACAAAAGUUUUAUAGGCAUAGUGCUCAAACUAAUUAAUUUGGAGAUUAUGCGGACUGAUGCCACGUGGCCGAUCCGACGGCUACGGAUGGAAAAAAAAAAAAAAAAAAAUUCGUGAUUUUAGAGAGAGAAAAAAAAGCACGGAGAAUCCGUGCCCGUCAGACUGCCACAGGGCGGCCGUAUCCGCAUAGUGCCCAACCAAACUAAUUAAUUGAGCACUACAGCCCAUAAAAUUUUUGUCCGUUUAUGGAAUUAUUUUUUCAGGAGAAGAAUGACGCUAAUCUGCUACCAUAAUAAAGAGGGUGAAUUAAUAGCUACAAGGAUGAGGACAGCAACGUGUCACAGAAAGAGAGACAGAAAAAAAAACAACGAAAAAAAACAUAGGAAGGUAGUUUCGAUUACAAGACCCAAAGAAUGUUCCAAGAGUUUUAUUGGAAUGAUACGCGAAUCAUGUUUGCACAACGGGAGGAGGAGCAAAUAAGAGAGCAAGCAUAAAAAUUACAACGCGAUUCACGCUCUCUUAAAAUAUUAUAAAUAUUUACAAAAUACCUUUUAAGCGAAAAUAGUCCCAUCAAAACAUAUGUUGAGAGUUACAAAUAAGGACGUGUUUUGGUUCGCUUUUUUUUCGCGCCUGGAAUCAAACUUCGAAAUCGGAAUGGGUAAAUCACAUUUGUGGGUGUUGGUACGGCGGAGUGCCAUCCAAUUCCCGAUGCCCGAGUGGACAUGGAAUCCCCCAAUCACUCUCUUUUCAUUCCGCGGCUUAGGAGGCCGAAUUGAAAUUGAAUCCGACGGAAUGAUAUUUAAUUCGGAUUAAAUUUAUUUUUAAUUGUUUUUAAUUAAACAUAGAGUUAAAAUCAAAAUUAAAAAUAUAGUAAUUUUUAAAUUUAAUUUAAAACCUAAAUUAAAAUUAAAAUGUAAAUCAAAGUAUUUCGAAUACUAAACUUAAUGAAUUGAAUUUAAAAAUUAAAUUUUAAAAUUUAUAUAAAGUUUUAUUCAAAUUUAUUGCAACCCUAAAUUAAAUUUAUGAUUCAAAUUAAAAAUUUAAAUUUGUAAAUUUUAAGUUGAAUUUGAAUAAAUCUAAAUUUAUUUCAUAUUUUUAAUUCAUCACACUCACUUAAAGUUUAUUUUUUUAAAAAAAAUAGAUUUUAAAUUUGACAUUAUUCAAAUUUUGAUAUAAAUUUUAAUAUUUAAUUUUAAUUUGAAUUUAAAUUAUAUAUGAAAAGAUAAUGUUAGUAUAGUUAAUUGAUUACUUUUUAUAUCCACCUGAACCAAACACUGAAUAAGGAAUGAUUUAUGCGAUUCCGAUUCAAGGUAUUAAACCAAAUCAGGGAAUAGUAAGAGCAAUUAACAAUUCCGAUUCCAGCUUUUGGAUUCCGAUUACGCGAUUGCCGACUCCGAUUUUCGAACGACAAACACUGCCCUAUUACCAUUGACUUUUACCAUUGACUAUUAUAUAUCUAUUAAUAGUCGGCUUAAAUUUUUAUAGUGAUAUCAAUAAAAAGGGGGGCGACGAUAUUGCCCAGGCCAUUCAUUGAAGAGGACAUGACCCUACAUAUUUUUGAAAUGCCCUCUAAAUAUUUUAUGCAAUACAUUUAUAUCAUCAUGCAUCACAAUGAAUAAUUAAAAAUAAAAAUAAAAAUAAAAAUUAGAAUUAAAACUAAAAUUAAACUUUUAAUGUAAAUAAAAGUGCAAUCAAAUUUAAAUCUAAAUUUAAAUUGAAAUAAAUAAAACUAAUUCAACAUCUAAUUUGACAAGUAACAUUAGUGAAUUCUUAAUUGGAUUCAAUUGAAUUUUCAAAUUCGAAUUACAUUUGAGUGCAGCUAAGAUCAAAGUUUAAAUGAAAAUUGACCAAAUAAUGUAAGCUGAAAUGCAGCUAUUGCGUUACAAGUGCCUGGUAAUGCUUGAUAAGGAUAGUAAAGCGCGCUUCGACAGGUCACCCGUUGUUAGAUAUUAUGAAACGUAGCCUUGUCCACCCAACCGCCUGCACCCAUAGUCCGUAGUUUAAUAAUACAACAGCACAAUCGAGAACUUCUUUCUCCGAAAGAGAUACUAAUCCCUGCUUUGACUUGUAGAUCUCUUUCACUGUCGCAUAUUGCACUGAAGCCUGCAAAACCUAUGCAGAACAAAGUUUUACGUAGCAUAACUAACUAGAGACAAAGUUAUAUAAUGAUAUACGCAUGAACUAAGGAAACAUUCAAACUAACAUAAUUAACGUUAUUUGCAAGUACAGAGCGCUUUUAACUUGUUUAAGAUUUUGAGUGUUAUAAAAUUGUCACCUAAAAGAUAUUGGCGGUUUGAACUCUCAUACACGACAUGUUUCAAAAUUUAGAAAAUUAACUAGUAGAGGAAAAAGUACAGACUAGAGGAUCACAUUUCGGAAAUUCUGAAGAUGAUUUUUCGGCCAAUCCAGAUUCGCAGCACACAUUAGAACAAAAUAAUGAUUUGAACACUCUAACAAGAUAUAGCAGUGUUGCGCACUUUAAUAUGCACAAACAUAACUAUACGAAGUAUGUUGUAUACAUUAAAUUUACUAUGUCCAAAUAAUAGGUUAAAGAUGGAAUACGAAUGAGAUUGAUUUCUUUUUUUUCCGCUACAACUCAGUUAGGUUUUGUUCUUUUACAGUGGCGUCCGACCGCAAACAUACAUCAUACCGAUUAUAUACUCAGAUCCAAUUUUAUUCGAACCAGAUAAUAUAGAAUUUGUAAUGCACUAUAGUCCUAAAACCUUAAUUAGUUAGGCUAAAUAAGAAAAAUCCUCUUGUUAACCAUCUGUUUUCACUUCCUCCAUGCUGCAUUUAAAAAUCUAUAACCUUGCGCCCCCCUAAAAAUAAAAAAUAUUCAUAUUCGGUUCCUGCCGUCAGUUUCUAGUUGAGGUUCCAUUUCAUAUCUUAUUUUUGUAAUUCAAAAUAUUUCUGAAUUCUCAUCUACUAUCCACACACCAUGACCGCCUCGCUCUGCCCACUCCCCUUCAUAGCGUAGAUGCAUCCACGCCUGCUCUCUGCCGCCUGGAAUGACAAGAUUGGGGAACAGAAAUAAAGAAAAGUAGGAACAUUUGUUCAUCUUUAUCACACCAAUAUCAUUCUAUAAAUACGUUUUUAUUUUUCGAUAAAAAAAGCAAAGUAUCAUGAUUUUUUUUUAAAAAAAACAAGAAAAACGGCUUUGCUAAAGGUUUCAUAUAAUAGCCAUUUAAUUAAUGCGAGCAACAUUCGCAAACUGAAAAAUGCUAGAAUGCACGGUUAUAAUUAGUGACCGUACGCGGCAUAACAAACCAAUUACAUUAAUCCUUUUAAAAAUAUAUGUCCGCAUCAUGAAUGUAAAGAGUAUUUAUUGUACUUUAUUUUGAAAAGAUGAUAUGAUUGGCUUUUAUGAGACGUGGUGCAAAUGUGACAGUGAGAUUCCUCUUCCAAACAUAAGGCACGCCCUCAGCUCAAACAUUCCAAACUAGGUCCAAACGUUCUUCUUUUUUUAAAAAAAAGUUGAGUUUUGUUUUUAUUUUUUUGAUAAUUAGAUUAAAAUAUUAUAAGAUUUUUAUCAGAUUUUCCUGUGAUCCAUCAAAUUUAAACAGUUGACCAUUCUGCAUUGAACUUAAUAAUUACUAAAAUUCAAGAUAUAUUUAUCAAAUAUAUCAAAUAAAAAUUCAUAUAUUUACAUAGGCGAAGGUACGUAGGACGUAAUGCAUCCCAAAUGGAUUAACCAAGUUCAUCGCAUCGAAACCAAAACGCAUACUUAACAAAAAACGCGUCUUUUAUUUAGUAACUGCCAAAGAUGAAGAACCAUUUCGGUCAGAGAACACCUAAUAUUUUUAAGUAAGAUUCAAAAAACCUCCAUGUGAAUUCGUAGUUUCUCACUGUUGCCUCCCUGUGUUUAAAAUGUAUCAAUUGCUCCCCCGUGUUCUUUUUCUCUUUUUUAUCAUUGCAUUUAUUUUUUAUCUUAAUCAGUCUAAAGUUAAAAUAAAAGUAUAAAAUAAAUAUUUGAUAACUCUAGAUGGAUAUCUGAAGUUUUGUAUAUAAUUUGAUGAAAUAUUAAGAAAAACUACCAAAAAAUAAAAAUGAAACCACAGGGGGCAAUAUUGAUACAUUUUACACCACAGGGAGGUAAGUGAAAAACUACGAAACCAUAGAAGGGAGUUUUUGAAGUUUUUCUUUUAAAAAAAAAAAAUUAUUUAAAUAGACUAAUUUUUUUAAAAAAAUAUUAUUUAUUUAUGUAAUUCAAUGACUAUAAUUGUAAUAGAAUAAAUUUUCUCAUUUAUUGAAUAUUUUUUUAAAAAAAAUUUUUUUUUAUUGUAAAUUUUUGAUCCGUCUGCUGAUCUCCAUCUAUUAUGGUCAGAAUUGAGAGAAAGCUAGAUACACAAGCCAUUGCAUAAGUUACAGAUAUGGUGUGGCUCAGUCGAGUAGGUUAACGGCAAACCCUUAUUUCCACCCAUAGUUGGCCGCACAUACACAAGUUGCAUUGCAUAAAGAGACCAUGUGAUCCAUUUAUAGUACUAACCAAGGCACACUAGUCCACAUAAAUGAAGGACACAUCAUUAUAGAUUUCAAACUUAACAUACUGAUAGAGACACACCGGAAACAAAACAGAAACCCACAAUGUCGAAACAAGCUAGCACUUGAUGCACGCAAAAUCCUUAUUUAUGUAAGAAACGCAAAUAAGUAGGCAAACUAGCAGGUCGAAAAAAUCAUUUGCUGUUCCGACUUAUUACGUAGCUUCAAUUUCAGAAACCCAUCUUAAUAACUUCGGCAUUAGCCCUGAUUGGAAGUAGGAAUAGAGGAGACAUGCGAUUCCACAUACUCCAGAAGACGAUACACAACUCUGCCCAUAACGACGUAUCCACUUCUCCCCCCAUGACUGCCCCCACGAGUCCUUACUAUCUAAUAUUUUUAGUUCCACGGCUAUCAUGCCCGUACCUAUAAUGGUAAUGGCAUGAUUAGAGACUAGUUCACACAGGUCCGGCGCUAAACACAACCCCAUUGUAAAUUGAAAGUUUCACUGGCAUCGAUAAGAGCACUAUGUUGAUUCGACACAGCGCGUACAUAUGCUGCGUCAAUCGUUCCUUCGCACAUAUGAAUAACCAGUAAUGUAAGCUGAAUUAGAACAGCUAUUGGCGUUUGGCAAGUGCCAUUGAGCUAUGCUUGAUAAGGAUAGUUUUUCGUGGUCACACCGUUGUUUAUGAUAUGAUGAAAUCGAGGCCUUGUUCACGAAACCUAGCCGCCUUUGCAACCGCUACUACAGCACAUCGAGGAACUUCUUGCUUCCGAUAAAGAUACUAAGUUACCCCUGUUUUAUCUGUAGAUUCCCUCACCGUCGCAAUUGCACGAAUGACCAGCAAGAACCUAUGCCAAACAAAAGAUACGCGUUAGCAUAACGACGAAGCAAAGUUAUAUCUGAGAUGCAAUGAUAUAACGAAUAUCCUCACAACUCAACAAUAAUAUAAAUGUUUUUGGCAAUACAGACUGCUUUUAACUUUAUUUCAAACGGUUUGUCAAGGCAUAUGGAGUCCUGUUCUUUUUGACUACAACGACUUUGGCUUACUUUAUAUAACUGAUUAUGGCAUAACUCAAUUAAUAGUAAGAGAACUCAGCAAAUAGAGCUAAUUGCAAAUAGAUUGAAUCAAGUCGAAGCCUGUGAACAUUGUCCUUGAAUCCUUAAAUGCGAUGGAUGUGUCCUUUUUAUCACCAUGUAUGUAUUUUUGGAUAGUUAAUUAACACUUAUAUAUACAUUUGAUGGCUAAGUUGAUUUUUUAUUAACUAGAUUCAAUACUUCAUUUCUUUGUACAUUGAUAAUGUGUGAUUAUACAUGUUUAGACACUUUUAAUCAGCCAAAGUAAUGGAAUUAUUGAGUUUUAGUGGGCGGAAAUUUGGUCCUUUUGUCCAGAAAAGGCAGAAGGCAUUCGGUAGCAAGCAUAUUUGAUCUAAGCAACAUGUUAGCAGCAUCUUAUAAAGUUAACUAAGAAUAAUUUUUUUUUCUUUUUUCUAGUUGAAGAAAUGAAGUUGCAUUGACAAUUUAUAGUCUAAAUUAUUUCUUACCACAGGGGUUUUGAUUCUUGACCUCGUUUACGGCACCAUAGUCUCUCCAAUCAAUACUUUGAGGCACCGCGGAGAUGUUUACGUCAUCAAAUGACACCACUGGCUCUCUCUCGAUAUUUAGUGGGAGAGAUACGCCGGUAUAUUGAGCAACAAAUUCGCUUUUUGUCAUAUCGGUAAACUGAUUGAUACCGAGAGUGUACGAAUUUCCGUUGCGACUGUUAAAGGUUUCGAUAUGCUUCACGUUGUUCUUGAAUAUCUGAAACCGGCGCAUCUUCUCGUCGUUGUCCUUGUAAACUCGGCCAUACUCCGCCAUCCAUUCUUCAAACCGCUUCAUCAUGGGAUCACUGGGUUCGUCACGAGAAGCUGCCGAUGGCGAAGCCCACAUCACACAGAGAAACAUGAAAAGAAACACGAGUUGAACUUUGGAAGCCAUGCUUAUGUAGCACUAAAUAUGUAUGAGGAAAUUGGAGAUGGAGCUACAAGAGCUUUUGGUGCUGAGAGUAUGGUGUCAAGAUCGAGUUUAUAUAGAAGUUCAUGCCUUGGAAUGUAGGUGCGAGAAUUAUUGUGUGGGGGCCUACAAGAUGUCACAAAUCGCCAUCAAAUUAAGAUUAAAUAGUUCUGGACCGCUUGCGGCACCACGUCAUGUGGUCACUAGUGUAGUGAUUUGCUUAUUACGUCGGGCAAAUACUAUUGACAUAAAAAUUGGUACAAAAUAAAAUAUCAGUUUAGUAUGAAAAAAUAGUAAAUAUAGUUUAUAUUAUAAACAAACACUUCUAAACAAAAUAAAACUAAAAUGAAAAAAAAUUAAUCAUUCCAAUAAAAUUAUUCAAGCUUGUUAAAAAAAAUCGCAUAUCAUACAAAUGGAUGAUUAAAAUUAUUUUUAACUUGGGAUGUCUCCACCAGAUGGAUGCGAGGCAGAGACUCAUUGUCAGGAGCAGCAAGAGCACUUUUCGACUUAUGCUUUGUUGGAGCUUGUUGGGAACUUUGGAAGGAACGGAAUUCACGGAUCUUUUAGCAACCAACACUCGACGUACGACGAACUAGGAAGGAUUGUUGUUUCCAUCGUAAAGUUCUGGGAAUCUAUUUUGGGGUCCUAAUUGUGAAUCGUUUUGUUUGUUUUACCCUGUUAAUUAGUGGUCCUGUUCUGUUAAUUAGUGGUCCUGUUGUGCUUUCUGAAGUUAGCUCAAGGGGCCUUCUUAGGGAAAGCCAAGCUAGCUCUGCUAUCUUAAGAUGUAUUCUCUGUUUCAAAUAUAGUAUAUUCCUGUUUAAUCAAAAAAAAAAUAUUUUUAUAAUACAAUAAUCAGAUAAAAUAUCAUAUAACAGUUGAUAUGACUAAAAAAAACUCACAAUAACUGACCGUUCCUAGAGCAAGUGGCAAAGGGCUUGGUGAUUGGUACCCGAGGUCCCAAGUUCGAAUCCUAGUUGAUUCACAUUUCCAGCUAAGUUUAUUUCUAAAUGAAAUAAACGAAGCGGGUAGCAUGCUACCUAUCUAAAAAAAAAAAAAAAAAAAAAACUCACAAUUAUACGCAAGACAAAUACUAUAUAUAUAAACAUAUGUAAUUCGGUCUAUCGACAGACUAUUUUUUAGCGGAAAAAAAAAUGAUUCACUUCUUACUAAAAUAAAUAAUGUAAUGAAAAAAACUUUUAAUACUUUUUAUCAUCUAAAAUAGAAAAAAAUAUACUUAUUCAAAAUUUUGUCAACCGAAAGAUAUUACUAUAAAUCUAUAUUUUAAUUCAAAAUUAUUUAAUAUUUUUUUAUCUCUAAAAAUAAAAAAAUUCAUACUAUUCAAAUUUUUGCUACAAUAUCUAAUGUAAAUCUAUAUUUCAAUUCAAAAUUUAAAAUUAAUUUAAAAUUUAAAUUUAAAAUUUGAGAACUAUCAACAUAUUAAAAUAAUUUUAAAUAUUUUUUUUUCCAUAUUAUAGUGAACGAUUAUACUUAAUUACCAUUAGAAAAUAAAGAAGUUACCUUAAUUUAUAUGAUUUUACUCCAACCACUUUCAUCUACUAGCAUGCUCCAGUUCCCAAAUGUGUCUAAAUUAGAAGACAAUCCAAAUAUGAAAGCGACGAUUAGAAGUUGACAACUAAAGUUAAUUUAAUCGUUAAACUUCAAUUUACUCUCCGCUGAUUUUAGCUUAUUUUUUUAAAAUUUGAUUUUUACUGUAGUUCAAAAUUGCCUUAAUUAUCAUAUAAUUUUAUUUUUAUUUUACCGAUAGAAUUUGACAUAAGUUAGCAAAGUAAAUUUUUUUUAAAAAAAAUCAUAAAGUGAUAUCUGCUUACCAAUAAAUUCUUACAAUAAAAUAAAAAUAAUAUUAGUAAAAUAGUUAAGUAUGUAUAACUUUUCAAACCACGUAAAAAGUGAAUUAAAAAAUAUUAAACAACAGUAAAAAAAUUAAAAUUACUCGAUCCCAAUUCAUUCAUUUUCUUCAUCCAAAGAUUCUACAAUCUCAUUCUCUCAACGACAUUCGAGUGCAAAUUAAACAUAUACAUGUUACACCAAAAGUCAAAUCAGGCAUUAUAAUUUUUUUAAUAUAUAAAUUUUUAAAACUUUAUAAAAUUAUAUCAAAUAAAUUAAAUUUUAAUUUCAAAUUUUUUAGAGGAAAAGAUAAUUAGUUACACAUUUUGUUCAUUUUGAGAUUUUUUUUUUCCCCAAGUAAAACCUAAUAAGUGAUGUAGUGCCGGCAUGCAUAUGCUGAUCCUUGAAAAUUUUUAAGUAUCGUUUGGUUUGGAAAUAAGCAAAAAGUGGUUAUUCCAGGAAUAGGUAUAAAUUGAGGUAUAAGUAGGGGUUAUAUCAAUUUUGAGUUUGGAUGAAAAUUAGAUUUUUUUUUUUUUAGAAUAAAAAAAAAGUAUUUGGUUAGGUAAGAUGUAAUAAAAAUUUAAAUGGAUAGUUAUAAAUAAAAAAUAAUGAUGUUAUCAUUUUCUUUAUAUUAAAAUUUGAAAUUUGAAAUUUUAUAUUUAUAUUUUAGAAUAAAUAUAAACUUUUAAAUUUUAAAAUUUCAAAAUCUCAAAUUUACAAUUUUAAAAAUUUAAAAUUUAAAUUUUAAACUUUAAAAUUAAAAUGAAAUUUUAAUUUAAAAAUACAAAAUAUCAAAUUCUAAAUAUAAAAAAUUUAAAAUAUCAAAUUUUAAAAGUUAAAAUUAAACAUGAAUUUUUUUGUGUUUGGGGGAGCACGACGAGGGGGGACAGAGGAGCGAAGCGGAGGGGCGGGGGGUGAGGUGGUGGGUGUAUCUGCGUGUGUUGUGUUUUUAUAUAUGUAGGUGUAUUUUUUUGAUUUGGUUUAUUUAAAUUGUUGCAAUUAUUUUUUAAGUUACGCCUAUGGAUAACAAUACUGCGCCAAUUUAAAAAAAUUCUUUAAUUUGAUGGUCUGGCAGUAUGUCACAUUCUCGAUUGUUCGUAGCGUGUGCUUAUCAAUAUAACGACUACAUUUUAAGGACUAUCGUCUUAGGGUAUAACGGUGAGAAUAUCUCACAACUCAACGAGNNNNNNNNNNNNNNNNNNNNNNNNNCAGACUUUAUCAAAUUUAAUUUUAAUUUAAAAAUUUUAAACUAUUUAUGUGAUGUAUGCGGAUGAUGAAAAUAUUGAUAAAUAUCUAGAGGCAUUUUCAAGAAUUUGAAUAUCAACUAUAUAAAAUUUAUGAGACUCAAGUGAUAUAUAACAGGCAAUGGUAGAAUAAGUAUUUUGUAACUAUCACGAUUAUUUUGGAUUGAGACUAAUCGUUUAACGUGAGCCUUAAUUGACGGUAUAAAUAAUUUAUGAGAUUUUUCUUAUCACUCCUCCUCCUCCGUAUGCGCAACACGUGCUCCGGUAAUAAUUCCAAUACACAACACAUCCUGCAGUAACUCUUGUUACGGAGUGAAGGUUUGUCCGCCCCCUCAUUCUGAUUGCAUCUGUCAACGAAAAGGACGAACAAAUGCUUUCUAAUAAUAUAGGUACCUGCCGUUAUCUGUCCUAAAUAAAGGUUUUAUAGCUUUGCUUGCGAAAAUGUUUACUAUAUCAUACUUACAUCGCAUCACAAUAAUAAAUAUAUUAUAUAAUUUUUAAUAUAUAAUAAAAUUUUUUUAUAUUAUUAUAAUAAAUAAAUUUAAAAAAUUCUUAAUUUGAUUGUGGAGAUGUCACUUAUCAAUAUAACGGAUACAUUUAAGACUAUGUUCGGUUAGGGGAUAAGGUGGAAUUUAUUCACCCUCAUCCCCAAACACAAAAAAAUUCUUUUAAUUUUACUUUAAAAUUUGAUAUUUUAAUUUUUAUAUUUAGAAUUUGAUAUUUGUAUUUUAAUUAAAAUUUCAUUUUAAUUUUAAAGUUUAAAAAUUUAAAUUUUAAAUUUUAAAUUGUAAAUUUGAGAUUUUGAAAUUUUAAAAUUUAAAAGUUUAUAUUUAUUCUAAAUAUAAAUAUAAAAUUCAAAUUUCAAUUUAAUAUAAAGAAAAUGAUAACAUCAUUAUUUUAUUAUACUAUACCAUUUAAUUUUAUUACAUCAUACUAACCAAUACUUUUUUUUUAUUCUAAAAAAAAAAAAAUCUAAUUUUUCAUGCAAACCAAAAUAUGAUAUACCCCUUACUUAUACCUCAAUUAUAGCUAUUCUCUGGAAUAACAUUUUGAUUAUUUCCAAAGCAAACGAUACUAAAAAUUUUCAAGAUCAGCAUAAUGCAUGCCGCACUACACUUAUUAGUUUACUUUGGGGAAAAAAAAAAUCUCAAAAUGAACAAAAAUUUAACUAAUUAUUUUCCUAAAAAUUAUGAAAUUAAAAUUUAAUUUUAUUUGAUAUAAUUUAUACCAGUUUAAAAAUUAUAUAUUUAAAAAAUUAUAAUGCCUGAUUUGACUUUGGUGUAACAUGUAUAGUUGUAUAAUUUGCACUCGAAAUGUCGUUGAGAGAAUGAGAUGUAAAUCUUUGGAUAAGAAAAGAAAUGAUUGGAUCGGUUAAUUUAAUUUUUACUGUUGUUUAAUAUUUUUAAAUUCAUUUUACGUGUUGAAAAGAUAUACAACUUAACAUAUUACUAAUAUUAUUUUUAUUUUUAUGUAGGAAUUAUUGUUAAGCAUGCUACACUUAUGAUUUUUUUUAAAAAAAUUACUUUCUAACUUAUGUAAUUCUAUGGGUAAAAUAAAAAUAAAAAUUAUAUAAUUAAGUGCAAACUUUCGAACUGCAGAAAAAACAAGGAACAAUCUACUAAAUCAGGGAGAGUAAAUUGAAGUUAACGAUAAAUAACUUUAGUUGCUAACUUCUAACUCGGCUUUCAUAUUUUUGGAUUUGUCUUCUAAUUUAGACACAUUGGGGAACUGCGAGCAAUGCUAGUAGAUGAAAGUGGUUGGAGUAAAAUCAUAUAAAUUAAGGUACAACUUCUUUAUUCUAAUGGAUAUAAGUAUCGUUCACUAAUAUGGAAAAAAAAUAAUUUUAAAUAUUUUAAUAUGUUGAUAGUCCAAAAUUUAAAUUUAAUGUUAAUUUUAAAGUUUUGAAUGGAAAAUAUAGAUUUACAUUAGAUAUUGUAAAAAACAUUUGAAUAAGUAUGAAUUUUUUUAUUUUAUAGAUAAAAAAUAUAAUAUUUGAUUAAAAAUAGAUAUUAUAGUCAAUAUCAAUUCGGUUGACAAAAUUUGAGAUAAGUAUAUUUUUUCUAUUAAGAUAAAAAGAUAUAUAAAAGUUUGUUUCAUUUACAUUAUUCAUUUACGUAAGGAAGUAAAUCAUUUUUUUUCCUGUAAAAAAUACGGUCUGUGAUAAAUUAGAAAUAUGUUGUAUCUUGCGUAUAUAUAAUGUAGUUUUUUUUUUUUUUUUUUGAUAGGUAAGCAUGCUACCAUCGCUCGUUAUUCAUUAGAAAUAAACUUAGCGGAAAUGUGAAUCAACUAGUCGAACUUGGGACCUCGGUACAAUCAUCCCAAGCCCUUUGCCACUUGCUCUAGGAACGGUCAUUAUUGUGAGUUUCUUUUAGUCAUAUCAACUGUUAUAUACUAUAUUUUAUCUGAUUAUUGUAUUAUAAAAAUAUUUUUUUUUGAUUAAAACAGGAAUAUAUAUAUUUGAAACAGAGAUACAUCUUAAGAUAGCAGAGCUAGCCUUGCUUCCCUAAGAAGUCCCUUGGACUAACUUCAAGACAACAUGACCACUAAUUUAUAUUAAUCGAACAGGACCACAUUAACAGGGUAAAACAAACAAAAACGAUUCACAAAUUAGGACCCAAAAUAGAAUUCCCAGAACUUAGAUGAAACAAACAAUCUUCCUGAUUCGUCGUAGCGAUGUUGUUUCUAAAGAUCUUAUUCCGUCUCAAAGUUCCCAAACAAGCUCCAACAAGAGCAUAAGUCGAAAAGUCGCAUCUUCUGCCCUGACAAUGAGUUCUCUGCUCGAUCCAUCUUGUGGUAGACAUACUCAGUUAAAUAAUUUUAAAUCAUCCAUUUGUGAAUCGAAGCGAUUUUAAUCAAUUUAAAUUUUAUUGGACAUAUAUUUUUUUCAUUUGUUUUAUUUGUUUAGUAAGGUUUGUUUAUAAAUUAAAUAUAUUACUAUUUUUUCAUACUAAAAACUGAUAUUUAUUUUUACAAUUUUUAAUGUCAAUAUAAUUGCCCGACGUAAUAAAGCAAAUCACUACACUAGUGACCACAUGCGUCGGGUGCCGCAAGCGGUCCAAACUGAUUUAACUAAGUUUUGAUGCGAUUGGUGACAUCUUGGUAGCCCCACACAAUAAUUCUCGCACCUACUUCCAAGGCCAUGAUACUUCUAUAGUAAACUCGAUCUGACACAUACUCUCAGCACCAAAAGUCUUGUAGCUCCAUCUCAAUGUUCACCAAUACAUAUUAGUUGCUACAUAAGCAUUGGCUCUCCAAAGUUCAACUCGUUGUUCUUUUCAUGUUUCUCUGUGUGAUUGGGCUUCGCCAUUUUCGUCAGCUCUCGGACUGAACCCUAGUUGUAUUCUCCAUAUGAUUGUAACGGUUAUAAUUUGAGAUAUGGAUGGCGAGUAUUGGCGAGUUUACAAGGACAACGACGAGAAGAUUGCUCGCGUUUCAGAUAUUUCAGUAACAAGCGUGGAAGCAUUAUCGAAACCUUUACACAAGUUCGCAACAGGAAUUCGGUACACUCUCGGUUCAAUCAGUUUACCGAUAUGACAAUAAAGCGAACUUUGUUGCUCAAAUAUUAACUGGCUAUCUCUCCCACUAAAUAUGAGAGGAGAGCUAGUUGUGUCAUUUGAUGGACGUAACACAUCUCCGCGGGUGCCUCAAAGUAAUUUGAUUGAGAGAGACUAUUGGUGCCUAAACGAGGUCAAGAAUCAAAACCCCUGCUGGUAAGAAAUAAUUUAGACUAAUAAUUUCUGCAACUUCAUUUCUUAACAGAAAAAAGAAAAAAAAUUAUUCUUAGUAACUGUUAUAAGAUCUGCUAACAUGUUGCUUAGUUUUUUAUUCUUCCCGAAUGGCCCCUUCUGCUUUCUGGACAAAAGGACCAAAUCCGCCCACUAAUUUUCUGCUGAUAAAAGUUCUAAACAGUAUAAUCAUUUUUAUUUCAAUGUACAAAGAAAUGAAGUAUUGAAUCUAGUUAAUAAAAAUCAUCUUAAGCCAUCAAAUGUUAUAUAAGGUAAUUCACUAUCCAAAAAAUACAUUUUGGUGAUACAAAAGGACACUUUUUAUCCAUCGCUUUUAAGUGAUUCAAGACAUAUGUCCUACUUCGACUUGAUCAAUCUAUUUGCAAAUUAGCUUAUGCUGUGUUUUUUACUAUUAAUUAAAGUUAUCAUUUAAUCAUACCUACUAAAGUAAGCAAAGUACGUGUUAGUUCAAAAAACAGGACAUCAAUGCUGAAACCGUUUGAAAACAUUUUUUAUAUCAAGCAGCUCUGUACUAAAUUUUAAUUAUGUUAGUUAUUUUAUAUUCAUAGCAACUCAGAUAUAACUUUGCUACUUUUUUUACGCGUAUCUUUGUUUUAGGCAUAGGUUCUGCUGGGUCAUCGCUGCAAUUGCGACGGUCGCGAUUGGGAUAUUCUACAAGAAAAACAGGUAUUAGUAUCUUUAUCGGAGCAAGAAGUCUCGAUUGUGCUGUUUUUAUUUUGGCGUGUGGUAUACUAUGCUUAGCUGUGUAUUCAUAGUUCUGAAUCAUCUUUCACAGAUCUGAAUUUAAAUUUUAAAUUUGAAUUCAAAUUUUGAACUUAAAAUUGUAAGUCAAUUUUAAAUCUAAAUUAAAUUUGAAAUUCAAAUUCAAAUUUAUAUUUUGAAUUUGAAUUUCAAAAUAAAACUUUGAAAUUAAAUAUAAAACUAAUUAAAAAUCUAAAUUCACUACAUGCAAGAUAAUUAAAUUAUGGGGACAUAUGUUUGGAAUAUUUUUAUAUAAGUGCCCUAUUUAUGUCAAAACUUUAAAAAUAAUCUAUUAAUGCCUAAAUAUAAAGCCCAAUCCAUUCUCCGGUAAACUAAGAUUAUCGGACCAAUUUUCAUAUUGUAAUGAAUCGAUUGUAACCUAAUUCUUAUAGUCCAUUAAAAAAUAAAAAAGUGAAUAUUUAAAUGAUUUUACAGUAGUUCUUAAGUUAGAAGACGACCCAAAAUAUGCAAUGGCGGAGUUCGGAGCUGGUAACUAAAGUUAAUUUAAUAUGUUAACUUCAAUUUACCCCGUGAUUAAGUAGAUUUUUUCCCUUUUUCCUCCGAUGCUUCAAAAAUUCGCCGACAGAACCCAACGUCAGUUACCAAAGUGAAUUUUUUUAAAAAACUUAUAGCAUACUAUGCUCUUUAACAAUAAAUUCUUACAAUAAAAUAAAAAUAAAAUUAUAGAAUACUGAAGUAUAACUCUUUAAGCCAUUGAAUGACAAAAAAAAUAUAUAUAUAUAUAUAUUAAACCACAAUGAGAAAAAUUGAAAAUUAUCCUACUUUUUAGUUCAUCAUACUAACUCCAUACCUACAAGCUCAUGUAUUACACCAAAAAUCAAACCAUCAUGUAUUAUAUAUUUUUUUAAUAUAAAAAUCUUUUAAACUCUAUAAAAUUAUAUUACAUUAAAUUAAAUUUUAAUUUAAAAUUUUUGGGAGGAAAAGAUGCAGUUUUCAGUUUCGUUCAUUUUACGAUUUUCUUCUCUUUUUUUCCUUUUUGAAGUAAAACGUAGAGACUUGGUGUAUCCUAAUGUUCAUGCGAUGAAAUCAUUAAUUUCUCUCUUGUCCAUUAAUUUUUUGAGAGAAAGGUACCUGCUUUAUUCAUUAAAGAAAAAAUUAAACUACACGAUUAAGAUAAAGGAAUCUCCGAAGUAGACCGAAAAAAUGAAAAAAAAAAUAAUUAAAUUUACAAAAACAUAUAACAAAAAAAAAUUUAAAAAAAAGGAUAUGCUCGUUUAAACACUCUAUUCUUCUCCCACUGAAGCAUCAAACAUCUGAUCGAUUUGACAGCUAGUAAAGAAUUAGUAUUAGCCAAUCUAUAAAUAACGGUGUUUCUUACUGUUCAGAUAACUCACCAAUUUUUUUUUUUGAAAAAGAUAACUCACCAAUUGACUGUGAGUUUUGUAAAUCUGUUUCUAACAUUCUGAGCACUAUCCCUUCCCAUGCUUCCACUUAUCCCAUACUAACCUCUCUUGUCCUUUGCUGGAUCGGAAAGUUGCAAUCAAGUUUGUCCGUUUCUCUCCCUGUUGGAGAGCAGUCAGAUUUUUUUUUUUUGGUGCACCCGGUGCACUAGUUUUGUUUUAAAAUUUUAUUUUUUGUUUUUUAAUUAUAAUUUAAUAAUAUAUCUCAUGAUUUUAAAAAUAUAUGUAAAAUAAUUUAGAAUUUAGGAUUUAAAAUUCUUUUGCAUAUAUUUUUUAAAUAUCAUAAAAUAUAUAUCUGUUAUAUGAAAUUAAAAUUAAGAUUAAAAUUAAAAUUUUAAAGUAAAAAAUGAUGCACCGGUGCACCGAAAAAAACCCGCUGUGUCCCGAGAGGCAGAGCAGUCGGGACGGUGGCCCGCGUGGCUCGGGUGCCAUGCGGCGCCCAUCCAGUGUCCUCAAAAAAAAAGGAGAAUUAAUGGGUGGAGCCCAACAAGUUGGUACAAAUCGCCAUUAAAUUAAGAUUAAAUAGUUCGGGACCGCUUGCGACACCAUGUCAUGUGGUUAUGAGCUAAUCACAAAAAUAUUUAAGUUUCUCUACUUGUCUCAUAUUUAAAUUUUAUAAUUUUUUUUAUAGGACAUACAAUAACGAAAUAGAUCUGGACCCUGUUAAAGAUAAAAAUAUAUAAACAUUAUUCUCUAAAAGUUUAAGCUUUUAGUAUCGUUUGGUUCGAGGAUAAGCAAAAAGUGACUAUUCCAGGGAUAGGUAUAAAUUGAGGUAUAAGCGGGGAUUAGAUCAAUUUUGCGUUUGGAUGAAAAUUGGAUUAUUUCUGAAAAUAAAUAUAAAUAAUAUGUAUUAAUAUAGUACAAUUAAUAAUUUUAUAAUAAAAAUAAUGUAUUAUAAUAUAUAACAUAUUAUAUUUAUAUAAUUAGUUUUAAUUCAAUUUAUAAUUUUAAUUAAAUUUGAAAUUAAGCAUUAGAAUAGUGCUAUUCCACCAAAAUGGUGGAAUAGCAAAUCCCUUGCUAUUCCGGAAUAACCGGAAAUAGCAAGGUUUGACCGGGAUAAAAUAUCCCGGCCAAAUUUCAUCCCAUUUGGCGGAAUAGCGGGGAUAACUUUUGUUAUCCCCGCUUAUCCCCCAACCAAACGGGGCCUUAAGGAAUUCACAUUGUGAUUGUUUGAUUGAUGGAUGGCCAUUACAUUGAAAUUGGUCUAUGCACUCUGUUUGGUUAAAACUAUUUGAGUAGUUCUCAUCAAGAAUCCCUACACAUUUUUUUUAUUAUAUUCAUUUCCUACUUUUAUUCUAUCUCUCCACACACACACACACACACACACACACACACACACCCCCUUCCCACCACCCCCUCCAAAUUUGGCUGAUAUUAAUGAAAAGGAAUUAUAACUAGUUGAGAGGAGAUUUUCGGCACUUUAGAAAAUAAGUGUGUAUGUUUGCUCUACCGUGUUAAUUUACUGAAAUUACUGUCAUUGUACAGGGUUAUGUGUAAUUCCAGUUGUAAGAACCUUUAGAACACAUCAACUUGUGUCAUACGUUGUUACGCCUUUUUGACAAAACGUAGGAAUAUUAUUUGAGUAGAGGUAUUUGAAGAAGUUGCAAGAUGUGUUUGUUUAGAGUAUUGUAGUUCCAUGGAUAGGAAAUAAGGAUAGUUUAUCCACUAUAAGAGGGCAAAGGGAAUUAUCUAGGCUAAUGGUUCCUUAUGAGAGUAGCAUAACUCCAUUCUAGCGUACAGUUUGAUAUCUCCUACUUAGUUCUAGUUGGGAAUUUAUCAAACUCAAAAGUACUUAACAGGAUAGCAGGGAUAUUGCCAUUAUCUUUCCAACUUGCAAAUGCUGAAUGUAAAUAUACUUGGCAUGGAGUUGAACAAAAAAACUUUUAAGUUAGACCAGCUUUUUAGGGAGCUCUUUUAGUCUUCGCACUAUGCUAGGAGCUCUAGAUUUUUUUUCUGUUUGCUAAACGUCUGACUUUUGCUUCUUGAGUAGAAUAACUUUUUUAGAAGUCAAACCAAUUAGGUAGUAUAUACUUUUGCAUAUGCUAACAAAAGUAUGUAUUCGAAAAAUAUUUGCUGAGCUAACCUGUGACAUUAGGAUGCUAGCACAAGUAUCACUGCUGUAUAUGCUGNCUAAUUCCUACUUAAUUACCAUUAGAAAAUAAAGAAGUGUACCUUAAUUUAUAUGAUUUUACUCCAACCACUUUUCAUCUACUAGCAUGCUCCAGUUCCCAAAUGUGUCCUGAAUUAGAAGACAAUCCAAAAUAUGAAGAGCCCGAGUUCGUUUCUUCAAAAAAUUUUCGGAAUUUUUGUAGAUUUAUUUGCGAAUUUUUCGGACAAAAAAAAUGGCUUAAUCUAAUUUAUUCUUUUUAUUUUUUUGGAAAAAUACGUAAACAGCCGAUUAAUUCGUUUCUUCAAAAAUUCGCGAAUUAUUCGCGAAUUUACUAUCUAAGCCUAUCGCUCUCAAAAACAAAAGAAAAAAAAAGAAUUUUUAUCAGAGCAUGUGUUGCACAACGGGCGGAGGAGUGAUAAGAAAAAUCUCAUAAAUUAUUAAUACUGAUAGUUACAAAUAUCUUUAUUAAAUUAUUAUAAAUAUUACAAAUAUCUUUAUUAAAGCGAUUAGUCUCUAUCCAAAAUAAUCGUGAUAGUUACAAAAUACUUAUUUUAUUAUUGCCUAUUAUAUAUCAUUUGUGUCGCUUAAAUAUUCUAUAGCUGAUAUUCAAAAUUUUUCAAAAAUGCCCUCUAGAUAUUUUAUCAAUAAUUUUCAUCAUCACGCAUACAUCACAUAAAUAAUUUAAAUUUUAAAAUUUAAAAUUAAAAGUAAAAAUUUAAAUUUAAAUUUAAAAUUUGAUAAAGAUCUGAAUUCAAAUUUUAAAUUGAAUUCAAAUUUUGAACUUAAAAUUGCAAGUCAAUUUUAAAUAUAAAUUUAAAUUUGAAAUUCAAAUUCAAAUUUAUAUUUUGAAUUUGAAUUUCAAAAUAAAACUUUGAAAUUAAAAAUAAAACUAAUUCAAAAUCUAGAUUGAAAGUAAAAUUAGUAUAAAAUCUUAAUUCGAUUUCAAUUGAAUUUGAAUUAUAUUCGAAUCCAAAAUCAAAAUUUAAAUUUUAAAUUUAUAAUUAAAAUUAGAUUAAAUUAAUAUUACAAUUCAAUAUUAUAAUGUAAAUUUGAGUGAGUCUAAGAUCGCAGUUUAAAUUGAAAAUUGAAUUAAAAAAUUCUAAUUAUAAAUUUUGGAAAUAUUUAGAGAUAAAAUGAUAUUUUAAAAUUUAAGUAGCAUUAAACUAGCUUCCAACUAAGAUUAGGAUAACACUCCGUGACGUGAGUUUACAUAAGAAAUAUUUAUGAUAUAACUCAUUCUAUUGGAAGAGCGUAUAUGAUAUUUUAAUAUUUUUAGAGGUGCCUGUGAUAGUUUAAGAUUUUGAAAAAUAGUUAUGAAACUGUCCCUGCAUUUCAAAAUUUGGAAAACUGAUCUCCCUGACUUGCGGAUUUCAUGUAGUACAAUUUUUUGACGGUGUUCUUAAUGCAAGUAACAAAUUAUAAGCAACUUUAAAGGAAAAAAAGUUACAUAUUUUUAGGGAUCGUAUUUUGGAAAUUUGAGGAUGAGUUUUUAGUUGUCCAGGUUUCACGCUUUGAUAAAUAAUAUGAUCAGAAGAAUCAUAAAUGGCGAUAGCUUACGUUUACCUACUUUUAUUAGAUAUAUAGUUUAAUAUAUUCUUUUUCCGCAUAAAAUUACUAAUUAAAUAAAACCAAUUGAUGCUCAAACUCUCUCUUCCUAUGGAAUAAAAAUAAAACAUAAAAAAGGAUAAAUUACGCUUUUGGUCCUCAAACUAUAAGAUAUAUGACACUUUAGUCUUCAAACUUUAAUGUGUUAUAAUAACUUAUGGCUCAAAGUAUGAGACACGUGACACUUUAGUCCUUAAAUUUUAAUUAGUUGUAAUUUCUGACUUACACUAAAGUUAAUUAAUUUAUUUAUUUCUACGAAAUCGAUCGGUUUUGUUCAAUCAGUAAUUUUAUUCGAUGUUAAACUAUAUAACAAAUUUUAUAAUGUCUAAUUGUUAAAAUUAAAAAUCGACCAAUCAUAUUUUAAAUAUUAAAAAAAUUAUAGAUGCAAAAUUGAUCUUUGAUCGGAUUGUAAUAUAAUAUUAAACUUUUAUAAUAAAAUCGUAUAAAAUUUGUCUAAACUAUAAACCAUUCUGAAUCAUCUAUUCAACCUUUUAAAAUUUUAUUCUUAUUAUCGAACUAUUCGAUACGUUAGAUUUUAAAAUUUAUAUAUAAAAGGUUUAUAUAUUUUAAAUUUUAUAAUAAAAGCCCGCCACGCCUCUCUCCCCCGGCCCCGCCCCAGCGUCUGCGACGUGGCUCAUAAGAGACAAUUGAAAUUAUUUCGGGGACCAUCCGAGUUAUUUUGCAGCCAAGGUUGGACGUGGAUUAAUGCGGCGAUAACUCAAAUUACCAUUACCAUACUAUAAAUCCGAGCAAGAAAUGUAUGGAACCCCCUGAACUAUAUGCCACUAUGAAAUAGCGCCUUCAAUCUACUUUUGUUUUUUCCCAUUUCGUGUUGAGUGAUUUUGGUGACUCACAGUAAUUAUGAUAAUUUUAUCAUAUUUAAUUUAUUUAGUUUACAUACUACGUACAAUUGGCAGUUUGUGCAACAAUUAAUCUAUUCAGCUUAUUUUAUUCAGCUUGUUUUAUUAUACUAUAUAUGUUGAGUAUCACAACGAUGAUCUUCUAGCUUAUUUUCACGAAACUUUGCAUCGGAAUUUAAUAAUCGUUUUAAAUAUUUUUUAACUUCUUAGAUUACGGUGGUAUUAAAGUGCAUUACCAUAUAUUUUUUUUUUGAGAAAAAAAUUUUAUNCAUUCCGUGCGUCUGUGCUAGCAGUUCUUGGCAUGACUCCAUGCCACUCCAUAAAUCCUUGCUUUUGUUGUUUACAAGGCUAAACUUCAAAAUCGGCACUGUGGUAUAGUGCAUUUUCGCGUUGGUGCACUAUGGAUUCUUUUCUAUCACAUAGGUGCCCUGAGUUUGGUAUUGAAAUUAUUCCUCAAGGACCUUUUUUCUAGCCCUGUUGGUAUUUGUGUGUGUUUCCAGUUCAAAUCGUUGUUGGCUCGGUUUUUUUAAGUCUAAACUCAACCGAGAACCCGAAUGCAAGCCCAUCUUAUAAGGGGUUUCUGAUUAAGUUUGAAUCAGAACACGACCUAAGCCCUGACCUAACACGACCCAACCUGUUUAUAUAUAUAUAUAUAUAUAUAUAUAUAUAUAUAUAUAUAUAUAUAUAUAUUCCAGUCAAUCUAUUUCUAGCAUACUGAGCACUAAUCCCUUCCGAUGCAUCCACUUAUCCCAUGCCAACCUUUCUUGUCCUUUGUUGGAUCGGAGAGUUGCAAUCAAGAGUGGGACAACUUUUCACUCCGUCCGCAAGAGUUGUUGUCGCUGCGCUUGCACCUCAUUUAUUGUUGUUGUAUGAUUGAAAUUAUUUAGGGCAUGUGUGGCACAACAUGAAUAAGAAUAAGAGUUUAUGCACAUAAAUUUAUAUAUAUAUAUAUAUAUAUAUAGAGUCCGGCUACUAUACUCUUAUGAGUAUGAUUGUCCUCGUACUUAUAAGUUGUUUUCGAUGAUAGAGCUUCCGAAUCGACGAUCCAUACUGUUAAAUAUUAUUUAGAGCAUUUAAAACGUAUAGAAAUUAAAUUUUAUAAUUUUUCGAUAUCAUUUACCUUACAAUCAAAAGGUCACAAAAUUGACAAUUUUUAACGGCCGGUAUGAAAUAUUUGUUAGUUAAACAGUAUAAAAGAAUCAAAAUAAGUUGAUUUUUUGAUAGAAAAUUCUAUUCAGUAUAUAGAUAAAGAUCAAUAGCUCCGAUCUUAAAUUGAAGGAUCCGAUCAUAAAUUUUUAAGACGUCGUUCGAUUUUGACAAUUCAUUUUAUACCCGCUUGAUGAACUUUAUUAUGAUUUCAAAAAAUUACGAAAUUUAUUUUCUAGAAAUUUUAAUAAACUAUAUUUAACGGAAUGGAUCGUCGAUUUGGAAGCUACAUCAUUGAAAACAACUUAUGAGUAUGUACGAAGUGUUCUAUACUCAUAAGAGUAUAGUAGCCCUAACAUAUAUAUAUAUAUAUAUAUAUAUAUAUAUAUAUAUAUAUAUAUAUAUAUAUAUAUAAAACUAGGCUGGUAUACUAUCGGUAGCACGGAGGCUGAUAUAUAUAUAUAUAAAAUAGAGCUUCUACAUUUUUAAAAGUACCAAGUUAUUGGUACUUAUAUAUUUUUUGCCAUUGAAAUAAGAGAUAUACGGUUAGAAUGAUGUGGGACCAUUAAAAUUGAGUGGUGGUUGGUUCGGAUGAAAAUAAUCAAAUGUAUAGAUCUAAUAGUAAAAAAUUUACAAGUAUCAAGUGUUUGAUACUUUUAAUGUACCAUAUAUGCAGAUUUCUGAGACGGUAAAAAUUUUGCUUUUGUCUAAAUAAAUGAAAGAUGGAAUGGUUAAUUUGAUUUGAAAUUUUGUUUUUCUCCCGUUCAACUCGUUACGUUCUACUGGUUACAUUCUAUAUAUUUGUAGUGGCGUUGAACCACACCGUACAUGUGAGUAAUUAAGAUACAACCUUAUUUUCUAUAGAUAUCUGAGAUUUGGGUAAAUAGCUCUACAUGUCUCUAAACUUAAAUUAGUUUUUAAACUUGUAAAUUUGGUAUAUAUUUAAGACCGGACUGUUUGAAUUAUAUCAUUCUAGUCCUUAUUCUGAAUAAAAAAAAACAAAAAGCGGUAAACUAUAGUAAAACCUUCCAGUACUGCAUGUAUCAGUUAACACCCUCAAUUUAAUUUUAAAUAUGUUGAAUGGGGAAAUUAAUUGCACUACUAAUUAAUUUCCAAACUUCUAUUUUAGUCCUCAAUUUUUAAGUUUCACAAUAUUUGGGACUCAUUGAAUGUUUCAUUCUAGCACUUAGUUAAAAAACUAAAAAAUAAAAAAAUAUAAGAGAGAAAGAGAAAAGCUAAAUUUGUAGAAAACCUCGCCCCUUUCAUAUGUUAGAUUUUAUACUUUAUUUUCUUCAAAUUAUCAGGCCAAAUCAUUCUGUACCGACUAAGAUUUGAUAUUAGAACCACUCACCCAAUCAUAAAAUAAGAAGCGAAAAAAGCUCUAUUAUCGUGUUAAAGAACUAGAAUAUAAUCUAAAAACUCAAACGGAGUGGUAAAAAUAACCUUCACAUUAUGUAUACUAUUUUAUUUUUAUCUAAAAAGAAUCUAAACACAAGUACUCUAAUAAUAUAAUUUUGUAUUUUGUAUUUCAAUUAUAUGCACUUUCUCUAUAUAUUGACCCUCACAUUACCCCAUAGAUAUUCAAAACAAAUAAAUCUACAAAAAUAUUAUUUUUGAGACAUUUUCCUAUCAUAAUGUUGUACUAGUGUAGAGACCCGCGCGAUACAGCGGGUAGAUAAUAGAAUCAAAACUUAAAAAUUUUAAUAAAAUUUAUAUUUAUAGUUUAUUAAAUUCAACUAUUAAAAAAAUAAAAUUAUAGCUUAUAACCCACACAUUGAUAAAAUAUUAAUAUGAUGCAUGUAAUUAAAUGUUGCACUUUACAUGUAAUUAGAGAAGUGGAGAGGUGAAGAGUUGGACGUUGAGAAGAGAAAAUAAUUUGAUUUAAAAUUGGGCUAUGAGAAUAAAGAAUAACAUAUGGCAAAAAAAAAAUUUUUAUGGUACAUGCAAAAGAGUUACAAAAAAGAGGGCUGAGAGAUUAAUGGAGAAGAGAAGUUGAUUAAAGUUAUAAAUCUCACUCGAUGAUAGAAUAUUAAUAUGGUGCAUAUAAUUAAAUCUUGUUACUUACAUGUAAUUAGAGGAGUGGAAAGGUAAAGAAUUGGGCGUUGAGAAAAGGAGAAGAUGAUUUAAUUUAAAGUUGAGUUAUGAAAACGAAAGCUAACAUGCCACGUGGCAAAAAAAAAUACAAAACUGUAACUUCAUAAAGAUUUAUUUAUAGAUUUAUAGAUGUGCACGUGCGUGACUUUUCAAAUUGUGUUGGACCAUCCCAAUUAUUUUGCAAACAACGUAUUCAAUGCGGUGACAACUCAAAUUUAAUUAUUGGAGCAAGAAAAUGUAUGGAAACCCCUAAACUAUAAGCGACUUUGAAAUAGCUCCUUUAAUCUGGUUUAAUUCUAUCGACUGUUUCUAGAGCAAAUGGUCGGUAUCCGAGACUCAAGUUCGAAUUCUAGUUGAUUCACAUUUCUAGCUAAGUUUAUUUCAAAAUGAAAUAAACGAAGCGGGUAACAUGCUAUCUUUCUCUCAAAAAAAAAAAAAAAAAUCUGGUUUAAUUCUCCCUCGCUGCCAUAUUUUAUAUUAGCUUAUGGUGUUGAGUCAAUGCUUUGAGGUGUCGCUAAUAUGUUUGUAUUCUCUCUUAAAUACGUAAUUAAUGCAAGAGAUAAACUACACCCCACUCAAGUUUUUUUUUUCCAUUCUAAUUAGCUGUCAAAGAUUAAUUAAAUAUAUGGACAGUUGAAAGAAACAUUUCUCUGCUUUUCUAUUUUUUCUAAAUCUCUUACAUUUUCUCUUAUAGAUAUACGCAUGUUACGAUAGUCUUUAUAGUUCCAGUUCUAUCACUGUAACAAAAUAUAUUUUAAAUAAUAUUUUUUAGACAACGCUCUAUUAUAAUAUCUUCAAUAUUUGGUAUAUAUCAACAGUAUGACUAAAUAUUGUUAAUAAAUAUAUUUUUAUUAAAAUACUGAUAAAUUUUUCGACGCUAUAUUAAAGCGUCUGUAUAUAUAUCCCAACAUAUUUACUUAACGACUCUUUAUUCGAUAUUUUUACAGGUGUCGAGAUUAUUCUUACUGAUGCUUUAAAAACGAUCUCGAAUUUUUGUAAGUAGUAUUUCGUGAUGGACUAUUGAUGCAUAUAAAAAAAAAUUAUGUGGUUUGAUACUUUAGUUUAAAUCUAUAGAUGAAGAUGGAGCGAAAAUUUUAUUAUAGCCAAAAGUGCAGAAGAUAAGAUUUAUGCCCAUUGUUCACCCUUAUCUUGACCACAUGUUGCGGUCUAGGUUCUGGGGUGAAGAAGAUCUGCAUUAUUGCGCUUAUGUAUGUACUAUUUUCUUGACAAUUUGGGCAAUAGAAUUAAGCUCGUAUGUUUUUAAUAGUGUAAGUUAUUGAUGUUUGUAAAUUUUCGAUCUUUGAGUUAAGGGAUGUGCGGUUUGAAUGAAAAUAAUCUUCUUAGGUUGAUUGGAUAGUUGGUUGAAUAGUAUAUAUGCUCUAACGAGUAAAAAUAGUUAAAAGGAUAAAUCUAACGGCAGAAAACUUAUAAGCACUAAGUACUUGCUACUUUUGAAAACAUCAUAGUCGGACUCUCGAGCAAUAUUAGUUUUUAUAAACCGAUGAAAAAUAGAUUUAAGUAAUUGAUACCGUAAAUUUGAAAUUGUAGAUGUCGUGUAGCUUUUCCAGUUUAUAUAGUUUGCUCAGUAUAUAUUUAUCGUUUAGUUUAUGAAUUCCAUUUUUGUCUACUUCAAUAUCAAUCGAUUAUCAUAUUAUUCAUAAAUAAAAAUGGUGAAUAAAAAAGUGAAAUUGUAUCGUGCAAUUUGUGAAUAUAUAUUUUUAAUUUACCUUCUUUAAAUUAGUAUAAUUAUUUUAUUUAAUAUUUGUACAAUUUAAUUACUUUCAAUUAAAUAUAUUUUGUUUGCUAUGCAUUAAUUUUACUGCUUUAUGAAAUUUUAAAGGUAAAAAUAUAUGGUUUAAUAAAAAAGGAUUGAUGAUUUGCAAUGGGCAAGGUAGAAAUAAUUUUAAAAGAGUUGUCACUAAUCUUAAUAUUUUGAAUAAUUUUUUUAAAAUUAGGUAAAUAUAUUUUUUUGGCAUUAUUAUUUUAGAAACGCUUCUAUGUAUAUUAUGUGACUGAGGAUCAGAAGGAAAAAUUUUAGAAUGCAACUGGUAUAUUGGUGACGUGGCGUAACAAACUAAUCAAAUAUCUGGUAUAUUGGUGACGUGGCGUAACAAACUAAUCAAAUAUCUCCUUUUAGAAGUAUAUAUGUUCCAUCAUGAUUGUAAAAAAAUAUCGAUUAGAAGAGGGUACGUAGUUUCGGGACCACCUCCAUAUUGGUUAUAAGAUUGGAAUUAUUGGCACAUGCACGUGUUACGUGUACGUAGCUCGAUCGGAAUAUAUAUAUAUAUAUAUAGAACAAUAAUACAUAAUUAGCAGUAUGGCACUAUUAGGUAAUAAAUAAUAUGAAGUAACGACGAAAUUAAGCGUGCUUAUAUGGAUAUGCUUCAGCAUUAAUUUUUCAAAUGGGACCGCAAAUUAUGAUGCAUGUAUUAUCUGCUUCAAACCUCUUCAUCAUCAAAUCAUCUGCUUCGCCGAGAGAAGCCAACGACGAAGCCCACAUCACAGAAAGAAACAAAAAAAGAAACAAUACUUGGUACUUGGAAGCCAUAGCUCACACUUACGACUAGUUUUGUUGCUGAGAGUAAGGUUCUCCGCAUCGAGUUUAUGUACAAGUUCUCGACCUACUAAUUAAAGUUGCUGGACCAUUAAUGGACGUGAGAGGUCAAUUAUUCGGGGCUAUUAUUAUUAUUAUUAUUAUACGAUAUCAUUAUUGGCGGCAAUUUGCACCGCUGGUCACUGAGCCCUAAUAGCUACAUUUGGUUUGGGAACAAAUUUUGAGUAAUAAUUCGUUUAUCGUUCCACCAACAAACGAUAUUUGGGAAUUAUCUAGAAUAAGCACUAAAUUACAUUUGGAUGCUGUUUAUUGAGUUGAGUUGAAAUGCUAUUAAUAGUCUUUAAAUUUUUUUACUAUCGAUUUUUUAAUUCUUAGAUUUAUAUUUUAAUUAAUUUCUUAUUUAGGUCAUGCUAUUGAAUUUUAUAGGGAUAUAUUUAUAAUUAGUUAUGUUUACAAAAAACUAUACGUAAUUAACCCUAAAUUUAAUUAAAUUUUAAUUUUAAAAUUUUUUUAGAGGAAAAGACACAGUUUUCAGUUUCGUUCAUUUUGUGGUUUUUGUUUUUUUUUAUUUUUAAAGUAAAAUCUUAUUAUGUAGAGAGUUGGUGCUAAUGUGCAUGUGAUGAAAUUUCAUUAAUUGAUUUCUCUCUUCCGUUGUUCGAUCGGAAUGCCGCAAUCAUGAGAGGGACAGCAUUCCAGUGCUCCAUACGCCAGAGUUAUUGUGGCUGAGCUUGCACCUCUAUGUGGGACAAAAAUUUUGCGGGCACCAUCCCUAAAUUAAUAAUUUGGGGACCGUGCAAAUGGGUGUCACGUGAUUGGUUCGACGGAUGCCAAUUUUUACUAUUUUUUAUCUCUCUUUAGAAAAAUAGUAUAAUUUUUUUUUUUUUUUUCAUUGAUGGCAGUCGGAUGGACCACGUGACGCCCAUCCGCAUGGUCCCUCUAUGUGUUGUCCUUGUAUGAUUGAUGAUUGAUAGUACAACAUGUCUGGCACAACAGAAUAAGAAUAAGAGCCGCACGUAAAUUUAAAAUGAUAUAUGUAAAUUAACAAAUAUUAUUAUUGUUUAGAAUAGGUGUUUCUUUUUUUUAAGAGGGAACUCACCAAAAAUAGAAAAUUUUCUAGAUAAUGGCCGUUCCCUGAUACGUCAAUGUAUUGAAGGUGUUUUCGAUAAUAAAAUUGAGAUCUAGUAAAGUACAUUUACUGAAUAUAUAUGAGCGACGAUUUGUGAUAAUUUAUCUCUUCCUUCAAAAUCGUGUAGAAAUUAGAUAGAUUUUCUUUUAAUCGAACCGCUUCCGUAUUGAUCUAUAUAUAUAUAAUGUGAUUUGAAUACUCAUAAAAGGGGAUGGUGUACCAUUGCCCACUUUUAACAUGCACAAGACAUAGACUAUAAGUAAAAUUUACUUUUGUCUAAAUAAACGAAAGAUGAAAUAAUUAAUUUGAUUUGAUUUGAAAUUUAUAGUGGUGUUGGACCACAACAUACAUCUGAGUAAUUUAGAUACGACCUUAUUUUCUGUAGAUAUAUGAGAUUCGGUUAAAUUGCACUACAUGUCUCUGAACUUAAAUUUAAUUUUCAAAAAUUUGAUAUAUAUUUAAGACCGGACUUUUUGAAUUAUAUCAUUCUAGUCCUUAUUCUGAAUAAAAAAUGGGGUUAAAUUAUAGUCAAACUUUUCCCUGCAUGUGUCAGUUUACACCCUCAAUUUUUAAAUAUGUUGAAUGGGUAAAUUGCACUACUACUUCCCAAACUUCUAUUUUAGUCGUCAAUUUUUAAGUUUCGCAAUAUUUAGGACUCGUUGAAUGUAUCAUUCUAGCCCUUAGUUCAAAAAAAUAAAAAAUAAAAAAUAAAAAACUAUCGGAGAGAAAGAGAAAAGCUAAAUUUGUAGAAAACCUCCAUACAAAAGUUGUAUUUUACACUUUAUUUUCUUCAAUAUUUAAACUAUCAGGCAAAAUUAUUAUAUACCGACUAAGAUUUUAUAUUACAAUCACUCGCCCAAUCAUAUAUUAAGAAGCGGAAAAAGAUCUAAUAUGGUGUUAAUUAAAGAACUUGAAUCUUAUCCAAAAUAAGCGGUAAAGAUAGAUAACCUUCACAUUAGGUGUACUAUUUUAUUUUUAUCUAGUAAGAAACUAUACACAAGUACUCUAAUAAUAUAAUGUCUUUUCUAUUUCAAUUAUAUGUACUUUCCAUAUUGAACCUCACAUUACUUCAUAAAUAUUCAAAACAAAUAAAUCUAAAAAAAAAUUUCUCAAAAAACAAUAUAAAAAAAUAUUAUUAUUGAGAUAUUUUCGUAUCAUAAAGUUGCAUGUGAAUGUGCAGGACUUUUCAAAUUGUCUCGGGGGCCAUCCCAAUUAUUUUGCUGCCAACGUAUUCAAUGCGGUGACAACCGACAUUUAAUUAUUGGAGCAAAAAAAUGUAAGGAAACCCCUAAACUAUAAGCCUCUUUGAAAUAGCUCCUUCAAUCUAGUUUUUCUCUCAUUGCCCUCUUUUAUAUUAGUUUAGAGUGUGUUUGGUUCCACCUAAAAUUAUUUCAAUUUUUUUUUGGCAGUUGAAAAGUAAAUUCUCGAUGUUUGAUUGUUUGCAAAAAAAAUUUCUCAAUUUUUUUUUUUUACAGAUUCAAUAGAACUGGAGGAUUUUGUUCUCUGCUUGUUUCGAGAGGAAAACGAAAACUUCAGCCGCGAAAAUACGUGGCGUUUCGGAAAGGCGGGGAUGUGUAUCACGUGGUCCAAAAGGUGACCUCCACCUCGUGGACUGCAUGAGAGUCUCUCCCCCUUUUCUUAUAUAUAUAUAGAGUCCGGCAGCUAUACUCUAAUUAUGAGAACGAUCGCCCUCCUACUCAUAAGUCGUUUUCGAUAAUAGAGUUUCCGAAUCGACAAUCCAUACCGUUAAACAUUAUCUACAGUAUUUAAAACUUCUAGAAAUCAAAUUCUAUAGUAGGUCUUGUGUGCUUUUAGAAGUACAAGGCCUUCAUACUGCUAAACCGUUUUCGAUGAUAGAGAUUCUAAAUUAACGAUCGAUUCCGUUAGACUUGAUUUAGCAUAUUUGAAAUAUCUAAAAAAUAAAUUUUACGAUUUUUCGAUAUCAUUUAUCUAACGAUCAAAAGAGUUCAAAAUCAACGGUUGAAAAUAAAAAUCUCACAAAAAGCGGUGAUAUGGACACUAAAAUUUUUGAUUAGAGAUAUUGAUCUUGCUAUAAAUAGUAUAAAUAAUUUUUUAUAAAAAUUUUAUCUGAUUUGAAUAAUUAUACACGGUUAAAUUUGCAAACAGUAUAUAUAUAUCAACAAUUAACAAUUAUUAAUUUUGAUCCCUUUCGAUCAUUAAGUAAAUGAUAUUAAAAAAUCACAAAAUUUAUUUUCUAAAUAUUUUAAAUACGCUAGAUCAAGUUUAACGGAGCUGAUCGUUAAUUCAAAAGCUCCAUCAUCAAAAAUAGUUUAGAAGCACAGAGGCUCGAUCCGUGCUUCUAAUAGCGUAGUUGAAAUAUUCAAAAACUCCAUCAUCAAUGAUCGGUGCGAAUUAAGGAAGAAAAAAUUCAACUUAUCUUACAAAAUUAUUUUGGGAAAUCCUCGCUGCACAAUUAGGCGAAUCCUAUGCCCAAAUGAACAUCAAGAGAUUGAUAAAAAAAAGGGAGAGCAAAGAAAUGGGUUUAAAAAAACACAAGGAGGGCCCCAAUCCACCUCUCCUCCACCCAAAUAAAUGUACGCGGUACCGCCACGUUGGAUUAAACUGUGAUUUUAUAAAUUUUUAUUAUAGAAGAUGUUAUCAACAAAAAAUUUUAAUUCUUAUAUUUUUUUAUAUAUAAAGUGAAAAUUUUUAUUUUAGUUUAUUUUAAUAUCUUUUCUGUGAAACAAUCGUUGUACUCUAAAAACUUAAAUUGUUAGAGAACGAUGUUUAAACAUUUUUUAUAUUUAACACUCCCCCUCACGUCUGGGCUUGAGACUUUUUAGUCGGCCCAUGACGUGAGCUUGAAUUAAAUGGGAGGAAAUUAAUAUGUUAGGAGUCUGGCGUGACUCCAACUCAAGACCUCCUGCUCUGAUUUAGAUGUGAAACAACUGUUGUACUCUAAAAGCUUAAACUGUUAGAGAACGGUGCUUAAACAUUUUUCAUAUUUAACACUCCCCCUCACGUCUGGGCUCGAGACUUUUUAGUCGGCCCAUGACGUGGGCUUGAAUUAAAUGGGAGUAAAUUAAUAUGCUAGGAGCCUGGCGUGACUCGAACUCAGGACCUCCUGCUCUGAUACCAUGUGAAACAUCCGUUGUACCCUAAAAGCUUAAGCUGUUAGAGAACGGUGUUUAAACAUUUUUUAUAUUUAACAUUUUCCUGCAUUUGAUUCAAAAUUUAUUACAAACUAAUAGGUUGAUGAUGUCUUCUGUUUUUAUUUAAUAUCUAAAUUUGAGGGCAGUGAGUACCCCAAUUUAAUUUUUUUAAUUCAAUAUCAUUUGAUUAUCAAAUUAUUCAUAAAUAAAAAUGGUGAAUAAAAAGUGAAAUUGUAUCGUACAAUUUGUGAAUAUAUAUUUUUAGUUUACCUUGUUUAAAUUAGUAUGAUUGUUUUAUUUAAUAUUUGUACAAUUUAAUUACGUUCAAUUAACUAUAUUUUGUUUGCUAUGCAUUUUACUGCAUUUAUGAAAUUUUAAAGGUAAAAAUUUAUAGUUUAAUCAAAAAGUAUUGAUGAUUGGCAUUGGGCAACGUAGAAAUUUUGAAAGAGUUGUCACUAAUCUUAAUAUUUUGAAUAAUUUUUUUUCAAAUUAGCUAAAUAUUUUUGGCAUUAUUAUUUUAGAAAAGCUUCUAUGUAUAUAAUGUGACAAAGGAUUAGAAGAGGGUACGUAGAUAUGAUGUUAUUCCUAGGUAAUACACUAAUUACCUUAACUCUUUGAAUGGUUCAUAAGGCGGAAACAUUUUGAUAAUUAAUAUAAAGGGUACAACUCGAUCUUUCUUUCUUUUUUUUUCUUUUUUUUCUUUUUUUUUUUUUGAGAAAAGGUAGUGAAGCUACCUGCUUCAUUCAUUAGGCUAAAUAAACUAAGCAUAUAUGAUUGAGGCAACUAAGGCCUCCGGAAGGGUCUUGAAGAAAAACAAAAUAAAUGGAAAAAAAAGGAAAAAAAAGAAAAAAGACAAAAAAGUAGACAACAGUGAAUAAACCUUACUAAAAACGGUCGUCCCAAUAAGGUACCAAAACAGGGUGCGCGGUCGAGUCAAAGUGCGUCAGCCCAGUCUUUGAUCAAGUAAGUGACACGUUCGAUGGCCCGGGCAGCGUUAGAACGUGUAUCGCGAAAAAUAAUAUUAUUACGUUCCGUCCAUACCACCAACCAGAUUGCCUCUAGAUGAGCCCGGCUUUGACUCGAUCAUUACUAGGCUUUGACUCGAUCAUUACUCCGGUACAUUCUAGUUUUGUAUACUCCAGCUCCGAGGAGAACACAACGCUCGUUUCCGAGAUGCAGAACAAAUUAAACAGAUGCUGUAGCAUCAUGUCACGUUUCAAAUUGUUUCGUGACCACCUCAAUAUAUGUUCACUUUUUUGUACACAUGGUUACUGCAGAUUGAACCAGCACGUGACCGAUACGUACGUUUAGUCCCCAUUAAGAUUGGAAUUAUUGGCACAUGCACGUGUUAGGUGUACGUAGCUCGAUCGGAAUAUAGAACAAUAAUACAUAAUUAGUAUGGCACUAUUAGGUAAUAAAUAACAUGAAGUAACGACGAAAGCAAGCUUAUAUGGAUAUGUUUCAGCACUUUUCAAAUGGGAUGGCAAAUUAUGAUGUACGAAAUAUAUUAUUACAUACAAAAAUAAAUAAAAUAUUUAUUUAUCAUAUUUUUUCUUUACAGGUGGCACAAUCUUUCAAUAAUUUCAAACAAAGCGUUAGUGUAUUAGAAUUUUAAUUCUUGAAUGAGAAAUUGUUGGAUUAAAAUGAUAUUAGUAUCUUAGAGUUGAGUGAUUCCUCUAAAGUUGAGUGGUUCCUACUGAAUUAUAAUAUUUAAUUCAAUAAUUUAAAAUAAUAAAAAGAAUUGAUCCAAAAAACCUAUAGCAAAAAUGGCCUUUUGGUAUCAAUAGUAUUCUAUCCCAUCUCUCUCUCUCUCUCUCUCUCUCUUUCUCUCUCUCUCUCUAUAUAUAUAUAUAUAUAUAUAUAUGAAUCAGGCUGGGAUACUAUCAAUAGGACCAAGCGUUUAGUGCUAUCAAGUUUUUCACUGUUAGAUUUAACUCUUUGACUAUUUUUAUCUGUUAGAUUAUACUAUUAAACCGAUAACUUAUUCAACCCUAGGAGGCCCACAUUAUUUUAACCGUAUAUUUUUUCAUCCAAGGACCGAAAAUCUAAUAGCACCAAUAGUUUGGUGCUAUUGAUAAUAUUCCAGCCUAGUUCUAUAUGCACACACAGGUCUUGUGUGCUAUUAGGAGCACAGAAGUCUUCGUGCUCCUAAGUCAUUUUUUAUGAUGAAGUUUUUGAAUCGACGAUCGAUUCCAUUAGACUUGAUUUAUCUAUUUAAAAUAUUUAGAAAAUAAAUUUUAAAGAAAGCGCUAGUGGAUUAGCAUUUAGCGAGUUAGAUUUCAAUUUCUUACCUCACAUGUAGUGUGUGGGCUUAGAUUUCAACUUCUUACCUCACAUCUAGUGUGUGGGCAUGUACGUAAUUGCACCGCACAGAGCAAUAUAGAUGCACAAUUCUAUUAACUGCUACAGGCUUUACAUACCAUUACUUGAUGAUCUUAUUCGGAUAAAAAUUUGCUAGGCAUCAUCCCCAAAUUAUAAGUUGGGGGACGAUGCGGAUGUGUGCCGCAUCGCCCUUCCGACACGCGCCCAUGGAAGGAAAAAAAAAAAAUGGCGCCCUGUGUUUAUAUAGAGAGAGAGAGUGAGAGAGAGAGAGAGAGCAGAGGGAGGGAGGAGAGUGAUCGUCGGAUGGGUCAGGCGGCGCCCAUCUGUAUCAUCUAGUUUGGAGACCAUGCCCAGCAACUUUUUGUCCAACUUACUCAUCAAAACAGCAUAAACUUACAAAAUUAAAUACAAACAGUUGGCUACUAAAUAUAUAUUAGGCAGCCAGUGGAACUGAUAAUAAUGCAACAAAAAUACAAAUGAAAACAGCAAGCCCUACUCGAUCAUACAGAUAAUCUUCGCACGAGCAUCGCCCGAUUUAUUACAUAGCUUAUAAGGUACGUAGCACACAGGGCACUUCAUUGCAUGCUAAAUCGCAGCUUCGAUAACCCUUACAUGGAGCUGACACGAUCAUCCGAACCCAUGUCAGAGGGUUCUGUAAUGCGCGGUGACGAAACAAGAGUCGGGUAAAUACCAUAGCUAGCCAGACCACAUAAUCCAGGAUAUGCCGUGUCUCUUAACAUCCUCACGUAUCCAUUUUCUCCCCACCUGUUGCCCCAUGAAUUCUUUAUUAUCCAAUACUUGUCUCCGGUGCUGCUGUCCUGCCCGUAACCUACGACGGUAACGGCAUGGAAAAUAUUUGUCCCACAAGGUCCUUUAAAGAUACCGCCAUUGUAGUAAUUGAAGUAAUAAGAGCUAGCAUCAAUAGCAAUAACUGUCGGCUGGUUCGCCACAGCAUACAUGAUCGCGCGUUCAUCGUAGCUAGGUUGUACAUAUUGAUAGCCGGUAAUAUAAGCUGCAUUCGGUUUGUUAUUUCUGCAAGUGCCUUUGUAUCCUACAUAGGGAUAGUUCGCCUCCGUCGUCACGCCCUUGUUAGCGAUGAUAAAUUCGUAGGCUUUGUGUACCCAACCAGAUGUGCACGCGUUGCUAACAGUACAAUCUAAAACUUCUUGCUCCGAUAGAGAUAUUAGUUGCCCUGUUUUAAUCUUGUAGAUGCCUUCUACCGUCGCGAUUGAAGAGAAUGCCCAGCAAGAACCUAUUUCAAAACAUAUAUUCAAGUUAGCACAACUCGUACAAGCAAAAGUUACGUAGAUUGUUAAUUAAGAUGUAAGAAGAACAUUCAAACAAGUAUGGACAAGGUCAAACAGAUGAUUACUGUGUUACUUUAUGCUUACUUGAGUGAAAAUGAUUAAUGUUGUCAUACUUCUUGUCGGAAAUUAAUUUUUCUAAAAACUUAAUUAAACUACUGAAGAACGAUUUCUAAUUAUUAAGAAUUAAUACUUCUUAUUAUGUCUAAUCUACAAAUGUACAUAUAGUAGGUGAUAACAUGUGUUCGUACACUUUUAGCUAGUCUGAGACAUGAACUUUGCAUUCAAAUGCGGUGGAGGUUUGGUUCUUUUGUCCACAUAAAUGGCUAAUGGAAUGGUGAGAUUUGGGCCCAAGGCAUCCUAUUCUCAUGAGGUUAAUUAAAAAAAUAACAUUUAUUAAGGUUCAGGCUGCUAUAGCUAGAAAUUAAUGCGCUUUAGUUCUCUAAACUCUACACUUGGUUCUUACCGCAAGUUCCUUGAUUCUUGACUGGUGUUACGGCACCGUAAUCCCUCCAAUCAAUGCUUUGAGGUAUCGCGGACAUGUUUACAUCCUCAAACGACACCGAUGGCUCUAAAUUUGUCAUAUUUAGAGGGAGAGAUAGACCGACAUGCUGAGCCACGAUUUCAUCAUUUGUCAUGUCAGCGAAUUGAUUAAUGCCCAGAGUAUACGAGUUGCCGCCGCGCCUGUUGAAGGCUUCAAUGCGGUUCACAUUGUCCUUAAAGAUCUCAAAACGGCGCAUCUUCUCAGCAUCGUCACUGUAAACUCGGCCGAAAUCGGCCAUCCAUUCAUCAAACCUCUUCAUCAUCGAAUCAUCUGCUUCACCGCGAGAAGCCAACGGCGAAGCCCACAGCACAGAAAGAAACAGAAAGAGAAACAAUACUUGGAAUCUGGAAGCCAUAGCUCUGACUUACAAAUGCUUUUUUUGCUGAGAGUAAGGCUCUCCUCAUCGAGUUUAUAUAGUAGUUCUCGGCCUAUGUACGUACUAAAGUUGCUGGACCAUUAUUGGACGAGAGGUCCAUUAUUGGGGGCUAUUAUACGAGAUCAUUAUUGGCGGCAAUAAUAGCUUCAUUUGGUUUGAGAACAAUUUUUGAGUAAUAAUUUUUUAUCGUUCCAGUAACAAAUGGUAUUCCGGAAUUACAUUUCGAUACUGUUUAUUUUGUUGAGCUGGAAUACUCUAUAUUAAUAGUAUUUAAAUUUUUUCGCUAUUAUUUUUUUAACCGUAAGAUCUAUAUUUUAAUUAAUUCCACCAUUUAAAUUAUACUAUUCAAAUAGCUACCCAUUCAAUGCUAAGAAGGACCACGAUCAUUCUAAUUCUAUAACUUUUCAUCAAAAAAUUAGAUAAUCGAUAGUAAAAUAGUCAAAUACUAAUAAUAAUAUUUCAGCUCAAUUCUUAUUUAUUUGUUCUGAAAUGAUAUUAUUUUUUUUUUUUUAGUGAGAAAGGUAGCACGAUACCCGCUUCAUUCAACAGAACGAUGAAUUAGGCUACAAGAGUGGGGCAGCCAAGCCCCGGGCGAAGGCGCAAACAAAAAAUAAAAAAAAAAAAAACAACAACAACGCACGCACACACUUAGGAGAGAGGAAAGAAUCCCACUCCGACACUAAUAGCUUGAGCCUCUGGACAGCUAACCCCGGAUUUGGUUGGCAAUUCCUGAAUAUCCAAUUGUUCCUCACCUUUCAAAUAGUCCACCAGCAGCCUGCCAGAUCAGUAAGUCUGGUUCUCUUCUUGUGCUGAUCCUUUCUAUCCGACCACUUUUCCCAGACGAGUUCCACGUCGUCCCCCAGGUCCUGGGCCUAGAUAUCGUCCACCUCUGAAACUAUGAUGAACUUGGUAAAUAUGCACCUACUGAACAAGUGAUCCACGGUUUCCACUUCCGCCCCACAAAGUACACAGGUAGGGUCGUCCGCCAGCCCUCUCAAAACUAGUUUAUCACGAGUAAGAUUCCUUUUCUUGAGUACCAACCAACAAAAUACUUUGUUUUUCAAAAGGAUUUUCAGGUUCCAGAUCCUGGAUACGCGUACAUCUCUCACACUCUCAAAAACACCAUGAGGUUAGUGCUUUUGAUAUUAUUAGUAUGUGGAUAUUUUAUGUUUGAAUAAGGUAUUGAAAUGAUUAAAAAUGUAUGAAAUAUCAGUUUUGCCCUUAUAUAUAUAUAAUAAUCAAAAUAAGAGUUGAGCUAGAAUACUCUCAAAAGCACCAUGAGGUUAGUGCUUUUGAGUUUUUAACUCUUGGAUGAAAAAAUGUAAGAUUGGGAUGAUGGUAGUAGGUGGUGGUAGGUGGAAUAGUGUUUGAUCUAAGGGCUAUUAGUAAUCAAUGAAUAGACUUAAGGGCUAGAAACCUAAAAGCAUCAAGGGGGUGAUACUUCUAAAAGUAUUCUAGCUCAAUUCAUGAAAAUAAACAUAAAUUAUUAAAAAGCUAAAAAUAUUAUAUUUGUCUCGAUUAUCAAAUUAAAUAUUAAUUUUUUUUAGAGAGAUAGAUAGCACGCUACCCGCUUCGUUUAUUUCCUCUAUAAAUAAACUUAGCUAGAAAUAUAAAUCAACUAGGAUUCGAACUUGGAUCUCGGAUACCAACCACCAAGCCCUUUGCCACUUGUUCUAGGGACGAUCAAUAUCUUUUAAAUGUGAAUCAAAUUUUAAAUAUUAAUUAAUUAUAAUUUAGAAAUAAACUUAGCUAGAAAUAUGAAUCAAAUUAAAUAUUAAUUAAUUACAAUUUAGGUACUUUUUUUUCUCCCUAAAGAAAAACUAGAAGCAAAUUAUUAGCAAAGAAAACACCAUUUUUUGAAUAGAAAAUAAAAAUAAUUCCCACAAUAAAUAAAAAUUAAUUCUCAACCAAAAAAUAAAUUGAUUAAUUUGGAAGAACGAGCUCGGCGACGGAGGCGUUGUUCUCAAAAGUUAGAUCUCCCUGGUGGGAGAACCAAGCUUAACGAGUUAUUAAGAUAUAAUUCGUAAAGUCCUCUACAAGAUCAGCUUUCAAUUCUCUCUUUUUUUUUUUCUUUUUUUUUUCUUUUUUCCUAUAAGUUUAAGAAUAUCUUCCUCGUUCCGGAAAUAUUCCCGAAACAAACUCUUAGUCUCUCUAUUUCAUCAUGAUGCCAUAUGAAUGCAAUGUAUAACCCCGAACCAAACACGGGCUAAAUUUACUACCAUAUAUGUGUUUAGUUCUAUCUUUUAUUUAAAGAUUAUAAUUUUUUUCUUUCUGUAGUUAAAACAAAUUUUACAUGUCUCAUGAUUUCCUACAAGUUGUAAAGGGCUAAGUGGUUGGUACCCGAGGUUCCAAAUUUGAGUCCUAAUUAAUUCACAUUUUAAGUUAAGUUUAUUUCUAAAUAAAAUAAACGAAGCGGGUACUACUUAUCUCUAUAAAAAAAAACUAUUUUGUCGAAAUAUAUUAUAAAGUCACCUGUUAAUGCAGCUAAAAAUAUUCCCAACAUUCAAUGGAUGAUAUAUAGGUAUAGCGUUGUUAAAAGGAGCUUUUUAUCUGAUAAAUGAUCGAGUUGAAUAUAUUUGCUCAUCAAAUUUUAAUAGACGCAAGGCAUAGUCUAUAAAUGUAUAGCCUAUAAAUGUAGUUUAGUAAAAGUAAAAUUACUUUUGUCCAAAUAAAUAGAUGGAACUAUAAGAUUUGAUUUUUUUUUUUUUUUUCUUACUGGGUUCGUUCUAUUUAUGGCCGCAUAGGACCGUACCACGAUAUUCUUGUUGGUUAUUCAGAUCCAACAUUAUUUGUUGUAUAUAUUUAAUAAUUGGAUAAAUUACACUACUGGUCUCUAAGAGGUAGUGAAUUUGCAACCCACCUUAAUAUCGCUUGUUGUGAAUAGAGUAUUCACUUUUAUAACAAUUGUUAAGAUUUCAUAAUGAGAGCAUUAAAGCGAAUAUUUACUAUAAAUCCAUUUUUUCAGCAAAAACUGAUCUUAGUAGUCCAAGAAAAGAGAGAAAAAAAAUCAAAUAAAAAUAAAAGUGAAAUAAUAUUCACUAACUAAAAGUGUAGAACGCAGGGGAAGUAUUCGUUUAUACCUUUUUGCGGAAGUGAUUCGCGCUACAAUGCGACGAGUCCGGAUUAUAGAGGUUGAUUCAUGUAUCCUUGGAUCGUCCUUACAGGUCUUCUAAUGUUCCAAACUCGCGGUGGAUCGAACUACAAACGAGCACGAUCGCAAAUCCACCGUUUAAGACCCUCUAGAAUAGUUGGUUAAUGGAGAAUGUGGUUUUUAUGUUUUUUUCUACGUUUUUCUCUUAGUUUUCUUAUUCUCUUUCUUAUUCUCUUGUUCUUAUUUUUAAUGUGAGAUCACCCGCAUAUUUAUAAGAGUUUCCAAAAUCCUAAUAGGUGCGUAAGAGAUAAGACCAAAUCGGCUAUUAAUUGAUAUCCUAAUAUGAUUAGAAUUUAUUUUUAAUUAGCUUUUCAAUUUAAAAGCGAGAUUAAUUCUAAUCCAGUUAGACAAUAUAAUAACUGUCGGAUCGAGUCCGAUCAUGGAUGCACCCAAUUCGAUUUAAUCGGAUGCCAACAAAAAAAAUAAUUAUAUCCUACUCUUCUGCGCGGAGUAAUUUCAAUUCGAGCUCUCUUUGCAAAUCUCUCUCACCACUUUCUCGUCCUCUAAUCUAACGGCGUCUCUUCUGUGCACGCGUGUACAAAAUGCACAAACGACUCACAGUAUAACAAAAGCGGCCCGCACACAUUGAUGAACAGAAUUACCAACUGGACCAUACUAGGCCAGACAAAACUGUAGAUUAAUUACUCGGCCUUUUUUUGACACCCCGGGCUGUUUGCUUCCAGGAAAAAAUAUCUAGAAAAAUUUAGAGGAAAGAAGUUUUUACAUGAAAAAUUCUUAUUUAAGUUUUCCGCUCGUUUGUUUUCAAGAUAUAUUAGAAUUUUUUUUUAUUUUUUUCUUAAGUUCAUGAAAAACUAGUAUUUUUAUUUUUUAAAUUUUUUUUAGAAAACGAUAAUACUAGUUNUUUUUUUUUUUUUUUUUUUUUUUUUUUUUUUGUAAAAUCUGGAAUAAUAGAGUUUUCUGAUAAAACUGGUUUCUUUGGGACUGAAUGGAGAAACUAGUAAUGUGUGUUAAUUAGUGACACAUUUAUUUUGUAUUAGUGCUAGAGGCCUGAGCCUAGAGGUGGCCUCACACAGUACUUAUUCAAGUUCCCGCUGUGUCAUCCUGACCCAAAUGUUCCUGAACCAUGGUCCAGCCCCACUAGUUUGGACCGCACGUACAUUAUCAGGCCACGGUCCGAUCCUAUUUGCUUUUACAUUUUUUAAUAUAUUUUUAAACUUUCAUUUUUAAGAUUAUAUUGUUUAAGUUUUUAAUAUAUUGAUAUAGUUAUUCAUUCAAUAAGUAGGGAUUUUAUAACUUUUUAAUAUCACUAGUCAAAAUUUAAAUAGUUUCAAUUAUGUCUGAGAGAUAAAAAAAAUAAUUACAAAUACUAAAAGAAAAUAAAACAAAAUAGAAAUUUACGAUAACAUAGCUAACACCGGCGAAAUUAUGUCGAUUGCUCAGACAUAAUAAAACAUUUUUUUUUAAGAGAUAAGUAGCAUGCUACUCGCUUUAUUUAUUUCAUUUAGAAAUAAAUUUAGCUAGAAAUAUGAAUCAACUAGGAUUCGAACUUAGAUAAUGUAGCUUAUUAUUUGGAGCUGUUUUUUUUCCCCUUGUUUUCACUAGUAUAGCUUGCCUAUAUUAUAGAGGUCACGUUGUUUGUUUGGUUUUUUUUUUUUUUUUGAGAGAGAGAUAUAAGUAGCAUACUAUCCGCUUCAUUUAUUUCAUUUAGAAAAUAAACUUAGCUAGAAAUAUGAAUCAACUAAGAUUCGAACUCGAGACCUCAGAUACCAACUAUUAAGUAUUUUGCCACUUGCGCUAGAAACGGUCGGUAUAGAGGUCACAUUGUUAUCUACUUGGUUUUGGUGAAUAGGGAUGAUUAAGAAUACGAUCAAAUUAACAUCUUGGGCAAAAAUUAAUUAAUCUAAAAUGCUUAAUUAUAUAGUUUAUUGCGCCUAUAUUAAUCUUGACAUUUGUUACAACACCAUUAUCUUUCCAAUCAACGCUCUGAGCUAGGUACCGCGGACAUGUUAACAUCCUCAAAUUAACGUCAUUUAUAGAGUCUGAUCUAAUAUUUCGUGGGAUAUAUAAUUAAACCAGUGUGUUGAGCUACAAACUCAACGUUUGCUUUAUAAGCAAAUUGAUUAAUGCCAAGAGUAUAGGAAUUUCUAGAUAGGCAUCGAUAUGGUCGACAUUGUUCUUAAUUAAAGAUCUAAAACCGGUGCAAUUUUUCAUCUUCGUCAUUGCAAAACUACUCAAUCUGACUCGACCAUCCAUUCUUCGAACUUCCUCGGAAUCAUCGGGUUCGCCAUGGAAGGCUGCCAACGGCGAAGCCCACAUCACACAAACAAACUGGAAAAGAAACAAAGCUAACUUGGAAUAAAUGUGGAAGUCAUAUACAUGGCACUAAUUAAAAAGCAGCUAUAUUUAGAAAGGCAUUUGUUGGUGCGGAACAAGGUCCUACCAUCGAGUUUAAGUAUCGUUGACUGAUUCAAAUUAAAUAAAUUGAAAGAUUGAAUAGUAAAUUAGAAUUUUGAAAGAUUAGAUAGCUGAUUCAAGGUGAUCAAUAAUUCAGAGAUAAGCUGCAUACUUUUUUACCGACAAAGAAAUAAAUCCUAACCCUAAAUGCGCGCGCACGUGCACAGUUUUCCUGUAAUAAGCACUAGUUCGUACUCGAUCGGGGUAAUUAAGCAACACACUUUUAAUACUCGAUCAUAUUCUUAUCAAGUCAUAGUAGAAUACACGUACGUCACAACACACGAACGAAUUGAUAUAUAAUAUCAUAAACAUUCAAACAACAUCCAAUACAGAGGACACUCGAUCGUGAGGGCGAGAAUCGCUCAAAUUGGAAGACACGUACGAGGAAUUAACACGAACCAUUUAAGCACGCAGAAUCCAAACAAGUUAACUCAAUCUCCACGCGCACGUCGACGUUAUUUAGUAGCUAUACGAGUUUAUAGUGUCGCGAACGGAUCGAUCGAUCACUUCAUCAAAGCCGAAUUAUAUAUGCAUACAUAGCUAGCUUUGAUCUGAAUUAUAUAGCGCUUAUGCCAUCAGAUCCCACGUCGGCGAGCUCGAGAGGAGUCGAGUUGAUAAUCGGGAUGACCGGCUGCUGGGCAAUACCACAUAAUCCUUCAACUGAAGAGACAUCUCUUUCCAAACGCCCGAACCCAUUUUCGCCCCAGUUUUUUCCCCACGAGUUCUUCAGUAUCCAAUACUUCUCUCCGGUAUUACUGUCCUCGCCAUAACCUAUGAUGGCGACGACAUGGUUGACUGCAGUUCCGCAAGGUCCCUUAAAGAUGCCACCGCCGACGUAAAGCUGGAAGUCCCUGGUGGCUUCGAGAUAGGAAGCUACCGGUUGCUUCGACACGGCAACCUUAAGACUGGUUUCGUUGUUUCUAGGCAGAUGUUGAUAAGCGUCGAUGUAAGCCGCAUUCGGCACGAUGUUGGACUCACAAUUGCGUUGAACUCCUGUAUAGGGAUAGGAAGACUCGGUUGCCACACCUCCAUUCCGUAUGAUGAAUUUGUAGGCUUGGUGCGCCCAGCCUCCACCUAUGCACCCGCUGCCAACGCUGCAAUCCAUAACCUCCUGUUCUGAUAGGGAUAUCAGUGCUCCUUUUUUGAUCUUGUAGAUUCCUUCCACCGUCGCAAUCGCAGCGAACGCCCAGCAAGUUUCUAUUCAAAAUUAAGGUUCACUUUAGCAUUUGCAAGAGAAAUUAAUUAUGUCCGUUAUUAAUUAAUUAAUUAAUUACGACAAAAGAAAGUAUAUACGCCACUUAUUAAGACAUAAUAAUAAUAAUAAUUAUGUAAUAACAUUUAAAUCUAUAUAAGAGAACCGUAUUAUUAUUAUCAUUAAAUUAUUAUUGUUGGGUACAAAUAGCGGUAAUAACUAAUAACUUUUUUUUUGUUAUUAGUACGCAUGCAGCACAAUAAAAUAAUAUGUAUUAUAAUAUAUAAUAUGUUAAAAUAUAAUAUCUUUUAUUAUAUUUAUAUAUUUACAUAGAGCUAGGCACCAAUACUAUCUAUAAUAGCAGGCUCCAGUACUAUAGUCUUGUCUUCAAUCUUACAAUAUUCAAAUUAAUGAUUCAUCCCGUUAAAACCUGGUCCAGCGUAUUUGAAGUUUUUAAAAGUAAAAUUUUAUAUUUUUUCGAUAUAGUUUACUUUAUGAUCAAAUCAUUUGAUAGAAAAUAUUUUAAACUAUCUAUAUCAAUAUCAACAUCCUUAAUCUUGAAUUUAAAAAUUCUAUCCUCAAAUUUUAAAGUUUAUUCAAUUUCAACCGUUCAUUUUGAUAUGCUUUACUUACUAAGUAAACAAUGUCGAAAAAAAUUAAAAUUUUAUUUUUUAGAACUUCAUAAAUUCUAGAUUAUAUAUAACAGUGUGGAUCAUUGAUUUGAACAUUUUAAGAUCGAAAAUAAGAUUAUAAUACUAGAGUAUCGACACUAUAUAUAGUAUAAUAGCCUAAUUCCGUUUAUAUAUAGGUAUUAUUGGGGGACGGUUUAUAAUUAUCAAGUUUCACUAUCUCACAUUCUCAUCCCAUAUCUGAUAUGAUUAUAUGAUAUAAUGCCCGCACACUGUUGGUGGGCUUAAGACAUAAACUUUCAAUUUAAAUGUGAAAAAAUUAUUUAUCUAAGGCAGAUGGAAUGGUAGACCGAGCACAUUUGUUCUAGUGUACGUUAACAUUUAUUGUUUCCGAAAACAAAGAAUAUUUUGGUACAAGAUAAAACAAUUGUAAAUAUGUAUUUGGAUACAUUCGAAGAUAUUUUAGAAGAUAUUCUUCGUAGCGUUUAGAUAAAAAAUCUAGAACAAUAUUUAAAUAUAUUUUUAAAAAUAAAAUAAUUAAUUUAUAUUAGUAUAUUUUAUAUAAAAUUAUUUCAUAUAGUAAUUUAUAAUAUAAUAUUUUAUGUAAUAAUUUAAUUUAAAAUAGCAUAUUUAUGUUAAUAUAUAUAAUAAUUUAUUUUCUAUAAUAAUUUAUUUUAUAUAAUUUAUUUAUAAUAUAUGUAAGGAAUAAAGUAUAAUACUAACAAUAUCCUUAUAAUUUUAAUUAAUAAUAUUAUAAAUUUUAAUACAAAUUAAAAAUAUUUGUAAUAUAUGAAAAAUGAUUUUAUAUAUAAAAUACUUAAUAUUAAAUAAAAUAAUUAAAUAUUAAUAAAUAAAUAAUAAAACUUAAUAAAAUAAAUAAUAUAUCAAAUUUAAUUAAUUUAUAUUAUAUAAUAAAAUUUAAGUAUAAAUAUAUUAUCAUAAAAAUAUUAAUAUAUUUAUNAUAUAUAUAUAUAAAGAGAAGAACAAAGUUGUGUUUAGUUUUCCUUCGAACCAUUUUUAACGGAUUGUUCCAGAAUAACCUGCUUUUAGCGGAACAACCCAUUCUCUUUAGUUCUUCCAUCGGUUGGUUAUAAAUUGGAGGAUAUACCGUCUUGUUCCAGAAUAUCUCCGAUACCAAAUACAGCCUAGAGGAAUAGUAAUGUAUUUCCUAUUCAAACUUUGGUUCCUAGGAGGAGAACUUUGUGGAAAAAAUGGAUUACUAUAAAAGGUACUAUGAAACUUUUUGAAAGAUUCAAGACAUGAAAAUUAAUUUUAAAAAAUGGAAUAAUGAGGUUAGAAGACUAUUGGAAUUUUAACUUAGGGCGUCCUAAACUGCUAAGUAGAUUAAAUUCUGAUGGCAUACCAUGUUAGACCGUCAAUUAAUUGAUUAUUUCUAAUAACUUAGGCUUUUAUUGAUAAUUAGUUGUUUUACAAAAUUAAGCUGAUUUAAUUACUAUAUUAUAGUCAACACUUCUUACCGCAUGUGCCUUGUUGUUUGACUUCUGUCACUGCAUCAUAGUCCCUCCAAUCUAUACUAUCGGGCACUGCGGACAUGUUUACAUCCUCAAAGGACGUCAAGGGCGCCUCUUGCUUCACGUUUAGGGGGAUAGAAGCACUGGUGUACUUACUCAGAAAUUCAUCAAAUGUCAUAUCAGCAAAUUGGUUGGUGCCGAGAGUGUACGAGUUUCCGCUCCGAUUAUUGAAGGUUUCAAUAUAGUUCACGUUAUCCUGAAAUAUCUGAAACCGCCGCCACUUCUCCGCAUCAUCUGCAUAAACACGGCCGAACCGAGCCAUCCAUUCUUCGAACCUCUGCAUCAUGGGAUGACUAGGAGAAGUUGCCCGGGGCGAAGCCCACAUCAGAGAAACAACCAUGUAAAAAAACAAGAGUAGAUAUUUGGAACCCAUGUGUAGCAGUACUAAUAAUAGCAGCUGCACUUGGAAGGGAGACUAUUUAUAUGAUCUAGCUUUCGUUGUGAGGAUGAGCUUCUCGCAUCGAGCUUAUAUAUAUAUAUAUAUAUACACUCAUAUAUAUAGAAGUGCGCGAUUGCUACAUGGAGUAUUAGUGGGAGAUAGAUGUGGACCAUUAUCGAAGGAAAAUAAUUGCCUUUCCUGUUUAAUAAUUAGUUGAGGGAUCCAACACUAGCUUGAUAGGUAAUUAGAAUUAGAUAGGUACAUUAAUUCAUAUCCGUUUUUAUUAACGUAAAGCUAUAUAUAGAUCCAUGGUUCGUACCCUCAAAUCAAUCUUUAAAAAUAAGGAUUGAACCCAGUUCUUAAAUUAUUGUCUAAUUCUAGACUUAUUAGAUAGCAUUCUAUUUUGAAGGAUCAAUUUCUUGUAUACUCCUGUAAGGACUGAGCCCUUGAUGAUUAAUAUCUAAGGUCUCAAAUUCGAACUUUAGUUAUUUUAUAUUUCUAGCAGAGUACAUUUCUAUAAAGCUAAACGAAGCUGAUAACUUGUUACCAUUCACUUUCUCAAAAAAAAAAAAAAAAAAGAAGAGAAAACUAAAAGGUUACUAAUAAGAUAAUAGCAGUAAUAAUAGUACAAGGAAAUGUAUAGAGUUCCUCUUGAUCAAUUAUUAGCUAUGACAAAUGAAUGAUUGGAUCAUUGAGGAAAAAAAAAANAUAUAUAUAUAUAUAUAUAUAUAUAUAUAUAUAUAAUGAAAACUCUAUUCAAACAUAUAUUUUUGGGAUGUAUGAUAUACACCUAUUCUUUCUAAGGUGCUAGUAGAAUCCAUUCCAUCUUUAAAAUGGAUGGGUGUAUAUCAUACAUCCUAAAUAGGGAUGUAUGUUUAGUAUUACUCUUUUGAAAUAUUUCUAGCCCCAUCAAUUGAGUUUACAUAUUUUAACUUUUAAGUUGAGUUAUCAUUUUAGCAAAAUAUUUUAAGAAUUUUCAGAAUUUUUCAAUAUUUCCAUGAAAUUUUAUAAUCUCAAUUACUUUUUAAAAUUAGUAUAAUUAAUUGCUAUAUAUCUGAUAGAGUGCUUUUUUAAAUUAAAUUCAUUUUUUUAGUUAAAUAACUAGGAAUUUUUAAAGUGAAAAUAUAAGAUGGCAAUUUUAAAAUGUCUUAUAUACAUUUGAGGAGGCCUCCGUUCAUCCAUUUAGUGGGUAGGCCUCCGUGCAUUUUUCUCAUUUAAUGAAAAUUUGAACUGAAAUUAUACUUAGAUAUUCUUGCCAUAACAACAUUCUAAAAAAAAAGAAAAUGUAUUUUGAUAUAGUUCCGACACAGACUUUGAAAAAAUAAAAAAAUUGACAAUUUUAUUGGUAGAUGUGAUGCGUUUGUAAAUUUAACGGUAUAAAAUAAUUCAAAUCUGAUGAAAUUUUUAUAGAAAAUUUUUUUCACUAUUUAGAGUAAGAUCAAUACCUCUAAUCUUAAAUUCAAAUCUUUUGUCAUCAUUUUUUAUGAGAUUUUUAUUUUCAAUCAUUAACUUUUAGACUACUCAUUUGAUAGGUAAUGAUGCCAAAAAAUUAUGAAAUUUAGCUUCAAAAUACUUUAAAUAAUGUAGAUCAACUCGAGCAGAGCCGAUCGUUGAUUUGGAAGCCGCACCAUUAAAAAUAACUUGGUAGCACGGAGGUCUCCAUGCUACCGAUAGUAUACCAGCCUUGCUUUCUUUCUCUCUCUAUAUAUAUAUAUAUAGAGAGAGAGAGAGAGUCCAGUUGUGAUACUAUCGAUAGCACCAAGGACUUAGUGCUAUUGAGUUUUCUACCGUUAAAUUUAACCGUUUGGUUAUUUUUACUCAUUAGAUUAUACUAUUCAAUCAACCACCCACUCAACUCUAGGGGACCCACAUCAUCCUAACCGCAUAUUUCUCAAUCCAAUGGCUAAAAAACUAAUAACACCAAUAACUUUGUGCUAUUGAUAGUGUUCCAGCCUAAUUUUAUCAAUAACAUUAAAUUAUUGGUGUUAUUAAAUUUUCAGUUAUUGAAUGAAAAAAAUAUACGGUUAUGAUGAUGCGGGCUCCUCGAGAAUUGAGUGAGUAAUUAGUGAGUUGUUAGUUGAGUUAUUAGUUGAAUCGGUCAAACUGGAAGCCACGAGGAACACGAACCACUUAAGCACGCAGAAUACAUAACGCACACAUCCAAACAAGUUAACUCGAUCUCCACGCACACGUCGACGUUAUUUAGUAGCUGUCGAGUUUAUCGUGUCGCGAGCAGAUCGAUCGAUCACUUCAUAUAUAGCUGAAUUAUACAUCGCUUCGAUCUGAAUUAUACAGCGCUUAUGCCAUCAGAUCCCACGUCGGAGAGUUCGAGAGGAGUCGAGUUGAUAAUCGGGAUGAGCGGCCACUCGGCAAUACCACAUAAUCCUUCAACUGCAGCGACAUCUCUUUCCAAACGCCCGAACCCCUUUUCGCCCCAGUUUUUUCCCCACGAGUUCUUCAGUAUCCAAUAUUUAUCUCCGGUAUUACUGUCCUCGCCAUAACCUAUAAUGGUGACGGCAUGGUUGACUGCAGUUCCGCAGGGUCCCUUAAAGACGCCACCGUUGUAAAGCUGGAAGUCCUUGGUGGCUUCGACAGCGGAGGCUACCGGUUGCUUCGACACGGCAACCUUAAGACUGGCUUCGUUCUUUCUAGGCAGAAACUUGUAAGCGUCGAUUUCAGCUGCAUUCGGCACGAUGUUGGACUCGCAAUUGCCUAGAACUCCUGUAUAGGGAUAGGAAGACUCGGUUGUCACACCUCCAUUCCGUAUGAUGAAUUUGUAGGCUUGGUGCACCCAGCCUCCACCUUUGCACCCGCUGCUAACGCUGCAAUCCAGAACCUCCUGCUCUGAUAGGGAUAUCAGUGCUCCUUUUUUGAUCUUGUAGAUUCCUUCCACCGUCGCAAUCGCAGUGAACGCCCAGCAAGAUUCUAUUCGAAAGAAAAAUUUUACUAUAGCAUUUGCAAGAGAAAUAUAUAUAUAUAUAUGUCCGUUAUUAAUUAAUUAAGGCAAAAGAAAUUAUAUAUGUCAUUUAUUAAGACAUAAUUAUGUAAUAAUAUUUAAAUCUAUAAGAAACCCGUAUUAUUGUUAUCAUUAAAUUAUUAUUGUUGAGUACAAAUCGUACUAAUAAAUAAUAAUUUUUUUUUAUUGUUGUUGUUAUUAGUACUUAGCACAAUAAAAUAAUUUGUAUUAAAAUAUAUAAUAUGUUAAAAUAUAUUAUCUUUUAUUAUAUUUAUACAUUUAUAUAGAGCUAAGCUCCUAUACUAUCUAUAAUACCAGUCUUUGAUACUAUAGUCUUGUUUUCAACUUUAAAAUAUUCGAAUUAAUGAUUCAUGCCGUUAAAAACUGAUUUAGGGUAUUUGAAGUUUUUGAAAUAAAAUUUUAUAUUUUUUCGAUGGAUUGCUUAUGAUCAAAUCAUUUAAAAAUUAUCAAUUUUCAAUGACUAGUAUGGUGAGUUUGUAAUAUAUAUAACGGUAUAAAAAAUUCUAAAUUUAUUCAUAUUUUUAUAAAAAAAAUAUUUUAAACUAUUUAGAUCAAGAUCAACAUACUUAAUCUUGAAUUUAAAAGUUCUAUCCUCAAAUUUUAAAAUUUGUUCAAUUUUAACUGUUCAUUUUAAUAUGAUUUACUUACUAAGUAAAUAAUGUCAAAAAAAGUUAAAAUUUUAUUUUUAAGAAUUUUAUAUAUUCUAAAUCAUAUGUUACGUUGUGGAUUAUUGAUUUGAACAUCUUAAGAUCGAAAAUAAAACUAUAAUACCGGAAGCAUCGAUACUAUAUAUAGUAUAAUAGCCUAAUUUCGUUUAUAUAUAUAUAUAUAUAUAUAUAUACUAUUGGGGACGGUUUAUAAUUAUCACAUUUGACGGUCUCACCCCAUAUCUGAUAUGAAGACACAUGAUAUAUGAUAUAAUGCCCGCACACUGUUGUUGGGCUUAAGACAUAAACUUUCAAUUUAAAUGUGAAAAAAUUAUUUAUCUAAGGCAGAUGGAAUGGUAGGCCGAGCACAUUUUGUUCUUGUGUUAACAAGGGCUGCGUUUGGUUGAAAAACUAAAUUUUGUAAAACAACUUUUGUUAUUCCCGAGAACAAAAAAUAUUUCGGUAAAAGAUAGAAUCAUUGUAAAUUUGUGUUUGGAUACAUUUGGAGAUAUUUUAAAAAAUAUUCUUACUAGCGUUUGAAUAAAAAGUCUAGAAUAAUAUUUAAAUAUAUUUUUAAAAAUAAAAUAAUUAAUUUAUAUUAGUAUAUUUUAUAUAAAACUAUUUCAUAUAUUAAUUUAUAAUAUAAUAUUUUAUGUAAUAAUUUAAUUUAAAAUAGCAUAUUUAUUUUAAUAUAUAUAAUAAUUUAUUUUAUAUAAUUUAUUCAUAAUAUAUGUUAUGAAUAAAGUAUAAUACUAAUAAUAUCCUUAUAAUUUUAAUUACUAAUAUCAUAAAUUUCAAUACAAAUUAAUAAAUAUAUAUCAUGUAUGAAAAAUUGAUUAUAUAUACAAUACUUAAUAUUAAAUAAAAUAACAAAAUAUUAAUAUAUAAACGAUAAAACAAAAUAAAAUAAAUAAUAUAUCAAAUUUAAUUAAUUUAUAUUAUAUAAUAAAAUUUAGGUAUAAAUAUAUCAUCAUAAACAUAAUAUUUAUAUUAAUAUAUUUAUUUAUAUAUCUAUUUAUCUAAUAAAAUAAAAAGAAGAACAAAUUUAUUCUUAGUUUCCCUUCGAACAAUUUUUAACAAGUUGUCCCAGAACAAUCCGUUUUGAUCGGAACAACCCCUUUUUUUCAUCUUUCACCAUUUGGUUACAAAUUAGGAAUAUGCCGUUUUAUUCCAGAAAAUCUCCAGUGCAAACGCAGCCUAGCUAGAGGAAUAGUAAUAAAUUUCCUAUUCAAACUUUGGUUCCUACGAGAGAGAUCUUUGUGAAAAAAAUGGAUUACUAUAAAAGGUACUAAUAAAAUGUUACUUUAAAUACCAUACUUUCUAAACUUUCUUCUAUUUAGGCUCGAAAUUUAUUUGACACAUCCAAGACACAAAAAUUAAUAAAAUGAAAGAGAAUUAAAUGAGGUUAAUUAGAAGCCUACUGGAAUUUUAACUCAGGGCCUCCUAAACUGCUAAUUAAGUAGAUUUAGUACUCAUGGCGUACAUGUUAGACAGUUAAUUAAUUGAUUAUUUCUAAAAACUUAGGCUUUUAUUGAUAAUUAGUUGUUUUACAAAAUUAAGCUGCUUUAAUUAAUAUAUUAUAGUCAACACUGCUUACCGCAUGUGCCUUGUUGUUUGACUUCUGUCACAGCAUCAAAGUCCCUCCAAUCUAUACUGUCGGGCACCGCGGACACGUUUACAUCCUCAAAGGACGUCAAGGGCGCCUCUUGCUUCAAGUCUAGGGGGAUAGAAGCACCGGUGUACUUACCCAGAAAUUCAUCAAAUGUCAUAUCAGCAAAUUGGUUAGUGCCGAGAGUGUACGAGUUUCCGCUUCGAUUAUUGAAGGUUUCGAUAUAGUUCACGUUAUCCUGAAAUAUCUGAAACCGCCGCCACUUCUCAGCAUCAUUUGUAUAAACACGACCGAACCGAGCCAUCCAUUCUUCGAACCUCUGCAUCAUGGGAUGACUAGGAGAAGCUGCCCGGGGCGAAGCCCACAUCAAAGAAACAACCAUGUAAAAGAACAAGAGAAGAUAUUUGGAACCCAUGUGUAGGAGAAGCUGCACUUGGAAUGGAGACUAUAUGAUCUAAUGAGGAUACGCUUCUCGUAUCGAGCUUAUACAUAUAUAUAGAAGUGCGUGAUUGCUACAUGGAGUAUUAAUUAGUGGGAGAUCGAUGCUGUGGAACAUUAUUGAAGGAAAAUAAUCGCCUUUCCUCUCUAAUAAUUAGUUUGAGGGAUCCAACGCUAGCUAGAUAUAGGUAAUUUAGAAUUAGAUAGGUACAUUCAUAUCCUUUUAUUAUCGUAAAAGCUAUAUCUAGAUCGAUGGUUCGUACCCUCAAAUCAAUCUUUAAAAAUAAGGAUUGCACCCAAUUCUUAAAUUAUUGUCUAAUUCUAGACUUAUUAGACAGCAUUAUAUUUUGAAGGAUCAAUUUCUUUAUAUACUCCUGUAAUGACUGAGCCCUUGAUGAUUAAUAUCUAAGAUCUCAAAUUCGAACUUUAGUUAUUUUAUAUUUCUCGCAGAGUUCAUUUCUAUAAAACAAAACGAAACUCAUAGCUUCCGACCCUUCUCUUUCUCAUAAACAAAAAAAAAAAGAAAAACAAAAAAAAAAACCUAAAAUGCUACAGAUAAAUAGUCGCAGUAAUAAUAGUACAAAGAAAUGUGAGAGUCUCUUGAUCAAUUAUGGCUAAUGACAAAUGAAAGAUUGGAUCAUUGAGGGAAAAAAUAUAUUGAAUCCCCUCCAUCAAUUAUAGACCAUUGCUCUUUGAUAAUAUAUAUAUAUAUAUAUAUAUAUAUAUAUAUAUAUAUAUAUAUAUAUAUAUAUAUAUAAUAAAAACUCUAUUCAUACAUUUUUUUUUAGGGUGUAUGAUGUACACCUACCCUUUCUAGGAUGCUAGUAGAAUCCAUCCCAUCUUAGAAUGGGUGGAUGUAUAUCAUACAUCCACACUUAGAAUAGGUGCGUGUAUAUCAUACAUGCUAAAUAGGGAUGUAUAUUUAGUAGGGAAAAUUUCAUAGAUGCCCCUGUAGGAGACCGAAAUUUCAUCAAUAGCCCUCUAAAAUUCAAAAUAUCAUGAAUGCCCUUCUAAAUUUAAAAAAUAUUCAUGAAUACCCCUACAGGUUAUGUACCGUUAGAAUCUAACGGAAUAAGGUGUAAAUACCAUUUCUGCCCUUGCACUGCUCCUUAACUAUAGGGAUAAUAUCACAGAUGCCCUUCUAGAAAUAGUUAAUUUCAUUAAUACCUAUCAAAAAUUGAUAAUAACACGAAUACUCUCCAACAUAUUAAAAAUUAUCACAAAUGCCCUCCACUAGUUAAUAUCCGUUAAAAUCAUUAAAUUUUUAAAAUAUCAUUUUUACCCUUUAUCUCUUAUCAAUAAUAGAAACACUAAUAGGUAUUUCAAGAUAAUUUUUAUAAAUCUAAAUUUGACUAUUUAAUAUAUAAAUAUUAAAUUAAUUUUUAAAUGAUAUAUAAAAAUUGUAUUUUAUAUAUAGUAUGUUUUUAUAUGGUUUUGGUUUUGUUUUUGGCUUCGAGUUUUGGUUCAAAUUCGAUUUGGAUAUAGACCAAAAUCAUAACUAAAUUUAAAUACGAUGAGAGUUCAUUUUUUUGUACUUAUAAUUGAAACUAUCCCGCUCAGCAUCGAUUAAGCUCAUCUCAUUCAAAAUUGAGUUCACAUAAAAUUGUAUACCUAUAUCAUUUCACAUUCCUAAUCAGUAAUAGUAAUUUGAAAUAAAUUAUAGAUUUUAUGUUUUUCCUAUUUAAUCAAAAAUAAAUUACAUAACUAUAUCAAUAUGCAUGCUUUUUUUAUUGAUUUUUUUAAAAAAAGAGAAUUUUGUUCAAAAGCUUAAAUAUAUUAUAUUUCAGUUUUUAAUGCAUUUAAUGCAGAUAAAAUUAUUGAGAAUAAUUUAAGCUUCCAAAAUUAAAGAAAGAUCGAAAAAUCCUCAACAUUUACUUUUAUUUAAUUUUUUAUACAUAGUUAAAAUAAAUGGAGCCACUAGAUUUGGUGAAAUCAUAAAAACCUUGAUAAAAUUUUUAUUUUUCAUACACUAAAAUUAGUUAAUUUUUUAAAAAACCAAAAGUUAAUGGGAUGUUAACUUAAAAAAAUAAAAGUUGAGGGAGCCAUUGAGGGGCUCUCCAUACAUUUUUAUUAAAGAGAUAGGUGAGGGUAAAUAGGUCAUUUUAAAAGUUAACCCAUCUUUAACCAUUAAACAACUAUGGUAAAGGUAAUAUAACUAACUGUAGGGGUAUGGGUGAUACUUUUUUAUAUUUAUAGGGGCAUAUAUGAUAUUUUAAACUUUAUAGUGGCAUCCAUGAUAUUUUCAGCUUUAGGAGGGUUAUCUAUGAAAUUGCCCCUAUUUAGUAUUACUCUUUUGAAAUAUUUCUAGCCCCAUCAAUUGAGUUUACAUACUUUAAUUUUAAGUUGAGUUAUCGUUUUAGUAAAAUAUUAAUUGUAAGAAUUUUCAGAAUUUUUAAAUAGUUCCAUCAAAUUUAUAAUCUCAAUUACUUUUUAAAAUUAGUAUAAUUAAUUGCUACAUAUCUGAUAGAGUGCUUGUUUAAAUUAGAUUCAUUUUUUUACUUAAAUAACUAGGAAUUUUUAAAGUGAAAAAUAUAAGUUGGCAAUUUUAAAAUGUCUUAUAUACAUUUGAGGAGGCCUCCGUUCAUCCAUUUAGUGGGUAGGCCUCCGUGCAUUUUUCUCAUUUAAUGAAAAUUUGAACUGAAAUUAUACUUAGAUAUUCUUGCGAUAACAACAUUCUAAAAAAAAAAUGUAUUUUGAUAUAGAUCUGAUACAGACUUUGGAAAAAAAAAAAAAAAAAAAGGUUCUUUGAUAUACUUAUCAUAUCAAUAUUCCUAAACAAUAAAUAAAUAAAUAAAGAUAUAGGUCCGAUAACAUAUUUGCUUACCUUUUUUUGUUACUGAAAAAUUUUCUGUUGGUCUUUGCAUUCAGAGAAAAAAAUGCUUAGUGUAUGUAUAUAUAUACACUAGAGUUAUUAUGUAUCCAGAAAAAUAAAGAUCUAGAAUUUGGUAAUUUUAAUUUUUUUGCCCUUAGAUCAAGAAUUAUAGAGUUGGGAUUAUAGUGGUCCCACCCUAAGAUUUAAUGGUCUCCUUAGCGGAAUAAUAUUAAUUCAAGAGUUAGAAAUGGUCAAAAUUUUGAUUAAAGAUUAAAAAUUGAAACCACCAAAUUAAUGAGUCCAUUCUCCCAACCCUUUAAAUUGUUAUGAUUGUGUCCUUAACCUCUUACACAAUUUUCAAUUGAGUACUUUCGCUCUCAAUUGUUGCAAUUAGAUCCUUAACUUGUUUCAUUAGUAUAUAUACAUGGUAUGAUUCAUGCAGUCGAAGUACUUGUUAAAAAAUAGGUCUUAUAAACGCUUAAAAUGUAGUGGAGAGGCAGGUUUAAAUUAUAUCUAGAUUUAACAUUUCAUUUAAAAUCAAAUCUGAAACUCAUAAUAGUUCAUAACAUGUCGUCACAAACUUUUAGCAGGUCCAAGACAAGAACUAAGUUAAAAUGGGUGGAAUUUUGAUUCUUUUUCUCCAAAUAACACAACAAUUUUUUGUGUAAAAGCGUCCGCCGCUCCAUAUAUAGCAUAUCUCAUCGGAAAAAAAAAAACAUUUUUAAAUUUCUUUUUUGUAUGCAUAUAUAGUAUAAGAUGAUAAGUAUUUUAAUUUUUGAUGAAUACGUACAAUUUUUUAAAAUAAUAUAAAUAAGUUAUAUAUGGUGAAUAAUUUAUUUUUAAAAAAUAUAUGAACUAUUAAUAAAAUAUAUUAACUUUUAUUCAUUUGAAAAAUAUAAUAAUAUUUUAGCAAAAUUAAUAUUUUAUAUAUAAAAAAAUAUAUUAUAUUAUAUUAAUAAUAUUAUAUUUUAUUAUAAGCGGUGUCUUGCUAUACCGCAUCCGUAUCUUACUUUCCAAAAACUGCUAAGUCAUCGUGUCCGAACUGUGUCGUAUUUCGUAUUUUGUGUCCGUGUUUCGUGUAUGUACCGGUGAUGCCUAACUAGCUAGCUAGCUAGCUAGAGAAAAUUGUCGAGCUUUAAUCAUCUAUAUAUAUAUAUAUAUAUAUAUAUAUAUAUAUAUAUAUAUAUAUAUAUAUAUAUAUAUAUAUAUAUAUAUAUAUAUAUAUAUCACACACGUAGUUCAUCACAGUAGUAAUAAGCAGCACACUUUUAAUUACUACUUGAUAUUCUUACUAGCUAGUCAAAGCAGAAUACACAUCGAUCACAACAUACAUAUACAAAUGGCUUGAUCAUAAUACGAUAAUUAUUCAAACUUGCGAAGGAACGCGACAAGGUGAGGAUCACUUGAUCAAAUUGGUAAUAAACGACGAGGAACUCGAAGCACCUCCUUAAUUAUUUGUUAUAUAUUGGUAGGGAACGAUCGCUUCAUAUAUAUAUAUAGCUAAAUCGCAGCUUCAACCUUAUGCAGAGCUUCUUAGGCUAUCAGAUCCAACAACGGCGCCGGCGAGUUCCGUAGGAGCAGUUGAUGUGAUAGUUGGGUAAACUAGCUGCUUGGUAAGACCGCAUAAUCCAGAUUUGGAAGCGACAUCUUUUUCCAAUCUCAUGAAGCCAUUUUCUCCCCAGUUUGUACCCCAUGAAUUCUUUAUUAUCCAAUACUUAUCUCCAGUACUGUUGUCCGCUCCAUAACCUAUGACAGUGAUGGCAUGGUUAAUCAUAACUCCGCAAGGUCCUUUAUAGAUACCGCCGGUGUAAAGCUGGAAUUUCUUAUCUGCUUCGACGGCCGCGGCAACCGGUUGCUGCGACACGGCGUUCAUAAGUUUACUUUCACUGCGAGGCAGAAACUUGUAACCGGUUAUAGAAGCUGCAUUGGGCACGAUGUUGGAAGCGCAAUUGCCUUGAACUUCUUUGUAGGGAUACGAAGCUUCCGUUGCCACGCCUUUGUUAGAUAUGAUGAAAUCGUAGCCUUUGUGCACCCAGCCUCCGCCUUUGCACCCAUAACUAACGCUGCAAUCCAGAACCUCCUGCUCUGAUAGAGGUAUCAGCGAUCCUUUUUUAAUCUUGUAGAUUCCUUCCACCGUCGCAAUUGCAGUGAAUGCCCAGCAGGAUUCUACUCCGAAAACAAAGAUUCAAUUAAUUGUUUAGCAUUUACAAUAGAAAUUAUGUCCGUUAUUAAGACAUAAUUAUGAAAACAUCCAAACAAUAGGUUUUCUUUUUCUCUUUCUUUUUUUUCCAAGAGAAAGGUAGCAAGUUGCCUCCUUCCUAUAUUUUUUUAAAAUAAAUAAAUUUAGAAAGAAAUUUAAAAUAAUUAAAUUUUGAAUUUGGAAUCUCGAAUAUCAACCGGCAAACUUUUAGCCAACUGCACUAGAUACGAUCGGCAGCAAAACUAAUUAGAAGUUAUUACGAAACCAAAACGUACUGCUUCUAACAAUCUCCUAAGAAGUGAAUUCCCACAGCAGAUAUAUAUCCUCUUGAAAAGAGGAUGGCCAAGUGAUUAACAUUGCGGUUUAUAAUAAAUUAAUUUUACAAUAAUUUAUUUUUAUUAAAUUAUAUUUUAUAUCAAAUUCAAUUAUUAUAUUUUUUUUUCACUAUCCUCUGCUAAUUAAUCAAACACAAUUUUAACUAUUUCUGAGAAUAGCAACAUUACAAACUAAAUAUAAUUUUAUUUUUAUUCUUGAUUAGCUCUUGAAUAGUAAAUUAUUCCAGAGAUAAAAAAAAUUUAUUCUAAUGUUUGUUAUCCUGAAACCAAAUAGGACCUUAUUAGUGCAUUCCAAUAGCAUAGACUACUGUUUUGUAAUUAGGUACACUUCUUUUUUCGGGGCGUGCGCGCUUAUUUUAGGUCUAUUUUUAGGUCAAAAAAUGAACUUCUUAAUGAUAUAUACUUGGUUGUAUUCACCAGUAUCAGCAAACAGUAACUUAUUGCACAGCAAGGCUAACUUCAUUUCAUGUGUUUCAAGUACCUUUUCGAGGAUAUUUAUUCACGUGCUUAUUUAAUUUCAAUGCUAGCUACAGUGAAGGUCCGUACUAUUCAAAACUUUUCUUGGGAAAAGGAACUCUAAAAGGAGACCAUAUAAAUUUGUUUUACUGAUAAUGCAUGAAAUGGUCUCUCUUUUUUUUUUUCCAAAAUAAACACGUCCAAUUAAUUCUUAUCACGUACGCUACUACCCUGUGACACUUCAUUUCGUUCGAGUACAAGCAAGAAUUAUUUAUUUUAGAAAUAGAUACAAAUUUUGAAAUUUACGUUUAGAUAAAAAUUGAGUUGUUCUCGAAAAUAAAAAAAAAAUAACGUUUGAAUAGAUAAGAUACAAUAAAAAAAAUAUUGAAUAGUUAUAAAUAGAAAAUAAUGAUAUUAUUCCUUAUAUUAUAUUUAAAUUAAUAUUUUAUAUUUUAUAUUUAAAUUUUUAAAUUUAAAUAUAUAAUUUUUAAAUUUUUAAAUUUAAAUUUAAAAUUUAAAAUCUCGAAUUCGAGAGUUUGAGCUAGCUAGGAGGGUCUUGUUCUAAUGUUAACUGUUAAAUAUAAAAAUGUUUAAACACCGUUCUCUAACAAUUUAAGCUUUUGAGUACAACGGUUGUUUCACAUGCUAUUAAUUUCCUUCCAUUUAAUUCAAGCCCACGUCAUGGCCGAUUAAAAAGUCUCGAGCCCAGACGUGAGGGGGACUACUAUGCUAUCGAAAGCACGGAGCCUUCCGUGCUUCCAGCUCGUUUUCGAUGUUGCAACUUUCGAAUUGUCGAUCGGCUCCGUUAAACUUGAUCUAGAGUAUUUGGAGUAUCUAGAAAAUAAAUUUUAUUAUUUUUUGAUAUCAUUUGCCUAGUGAUCGAAUGGGCUCAAAAUCAACAAAUUUCAAUGGCCGUAGUGUGCUGUUUGCAAGUUUAACGGUGUAGAAAUAUCUAAAUCACGUGAAAUUUUGAUAGAAAAUUCUUUAUACUAUAUAAAACAAGAUCAAUAUCUUUGAUUUAAAAUUUUAAUGUCAUAUUAUUACAUUUUGUAAGAUUUUUAUUUUCAGCCGUUGAUUUUGAGCCCCUUCGUUCACUAGGCAAAUGAUAUCGUAAAAUCAUAAAAUUUAUUUUCUAGGUACUUCAAAUACUCUAGAUCAAGUUUAACGGAGCCGAUCGACGAUUCGAAAGUCGCAACAUCGAAAACGAGCUAGAAGCACGGAAGGCUCCGUGCUUCCGAUAGCAUAGUAGCCUCACUCUAUAUAUAUAUAUAUAUAUAUAUAUAUAUAUAUAUAUAAAUAAUACGUACUUAACACUUCUUACGGUGUAUGCCUUAUUGUUUGACUUUUAUGAUAACAUUAUAGUCCCUCCAAUCUAUACUUUGAGGCACUGAGGACAUUUUACGUUCUCAAAUUAUGUCAACGGCGCCUCUGACUUCAUAUUUAGAGGGACUGAUUUUAUGUUCAUGGCAUGUCAUGUUAGAAUGUCGCUUAUCUUUAAAAACUUAAACUUACAUGUGAAACUAGCUAGUUGCUUUACAAAAGGACACUGCUUUAAUAUAUAUUACAUUUAACAUUUCUUACCGCAUCACUUAAUGAAUGAAGCAGGUAGCAGCUUGCUACCUAUUUCUUAAAAAAAAAUACUUCUUACCGCAUGUGCCUUGUUGUUUGACUUCAGUGACGGCACCAUGGUCCCUCCAAUCUAUGCUCUUAGGCACCGCGGAUAUAUUUACAUCCUCAAAUGAUGUCAAGGUCAAUGUCUCUGACUUCAUUUUUAGAGGGACAGAUGUACCGGUGUACUUAGCUAGAAAUUCAUCAAAUGUCAUAUCAGCAAAUUGGUUAGUGCCGAGAGUGUACGAGUUCCCGCUUCGAUUAUUGAAGGAUUCGAUAUAGUUCACGUUAUCCUGAAAUAUCUGGAACCGCCGCCACUUCUCCGCAUCGUCUGUAUAAACACGAUGGAACCGAGCCAUCCAUUCUUCGAACCUCCGCAUCAUGGGAUCAUCCGGUAGGCUACGAGAAGCUGCCCGUGGCGAAGCCAACAUUACAGAAACAACCAUGUAAAAUAACACAAGUUGAAAUUUGGAACCCAUAAUAUCACCUACACUUUGGAAUGGUUUAAUUUCGUUUGUGUGGAUGAGCUCCUUGCCAAAUCGAGCUUAUAUAGAAGUUCGUGACUACAACUAGAAGCAUUAGUAGGAGAUAGAUGCUGUGGAAAAUAAUGGAAGAAAAAUAAUCGAAGGGCCUAUUGAAAGCGGCCUUUUGGCCGGUGACAAUUAGUUGAGGAAUCCAAAGCUCGGUAGAUAUUUAACAAUUAGAUACCUGGAUCAAAAUCCUUUGAACAAUUAGAUGUUUACUGCUAUAAGCUAGAACUUAUAGAAACAGCACAACGGUAAAAUUUUCAAUGAGUUGUAUAGAUCAUCUGAAAAAAAAGCUCGAGUAUCUCACAAUAAUGCACUAAUGUUGUUUAAAUUUUUGUAACCGGAGGUUUCAAUUUGGGAGAUCAAUUAUUACUGUGGGCCUACUCAGCCCUAGUAAUUAUAACCUAUAUUUGUUUUACACGUAACUUCUAUUAUACAUUCAAUAAAACGUGUAGGUAAUACCCUGUACAUUCCUUUCACAAAAAAAAAAUCACAAAGCUAUAGAUUAUUUUCAAUUCGAUCACAAAACAAGUAAAGAAAUAUGACAAUAUUUGAAACGAAAUCUUUAUGGCCCAAUGCUUGCUCUUGCAAGUAUGAGUAAAUAGAAAUAGAAUUUGUGGCAAAUAAUUGAUUGUUUUAACUGUGUGCGUGCGUGUGUGUAUAUAUAUUGGAUCCCUUAAUCAAUUCUAUACGUUAAAUUAUGUUAUUCUAUCAACUAUCCACUAAAUCUUAGGAGACUACUAUCAUUUCAAACCUACAAUUUUUUAUCUUAAGGGUUAUAAAGUUAGUGGUAAAAAAGUACAAAUAUUAUUAAUAUUAUUCCAACACAAUUAUAUAAAUGUAUACGCAUAAAUUGCACCUUAAUUUCCAUGAUUAGAUUAAUAAUUAUAUAUUGUGAUGAUGUAAUUAUCGACUUUUACAUUCUUGUUCGAUUUUCUCUUCAAGGUGACCGCAAAGCAUUGCUCUUAUGGCUAGUCCUUAAUUCACAUCAAUCAUUAUAAUCAUCUAGCUUCCAUGAUUCAUAAGUUUUUUCGAUCGACCCGACUUUAAUUUUAUGUGUAAUUUAAAAAUUGUUAGUGUUAUUAAUUUAAAAGAUCAAUUUAAUUAAGAAUCUGCUUAUGAAUAGUCUUAAAAUUGAUAACUAUGCUGUGAUGGAUACAGAUUAUGUUUUUUUGAGAAAAAGAUAGCAUACUAUUAAUUUCGUUUAUUAUGUGGAGCGUAGAGCUUAUAAUAAUUGAACCCAUGCGUUAAUGCGUUGUAUCCAAAGUAGGAGAAGGACUAGGUGANUAUAUAUAUAUAUAUAUAUAUAUAUAUAUAUAUAUAUAUAUAGAGGUUGAGUAGUUGAUAGGCGUUUGUCAAUUGGCAGCUGCAUGUGUACCACAAUCUGACCUAAAAUUGAUUUAGGUACAUAAAUAGCUCCUGUAUUGUAAAAGCUCUAUAUAAGGUAAAUUCACAAAGCCCUCUUUUACAUUACCCCACGUCUCAAUUACCUCUUAGUAAUCGAAUUGUUGGUAUAUAUCUUACUACAGAGAUUGCAAACCCACCAUUCUAAAUCACGAUUUCGAAUUGCUCAUUCUGAUAUCCACCGAUUUCUUAUCAGAAUAGAAAAAAGUUGCAAACUGAUGGAGAAUUGAAAAAAAAAGGGGCAUGCACAUAAUUAGAUUAGAAGAGCAUGAGCGAUUCAACAGGAACGAUUCAACUAAUCCUGUGUAGCUGUGCAACUUUCCACAAUAUAUGCCCCAUUAAUUUUAGGUAAUUUUAAAGGAGGCACAUUAAGGUCGAGGGAACUGGUGUCAAUUGCAAGUACUUGGGGGAUUAUCUGGCUUAAACACAACAGGAGUAUUUUUUAGAAAAUGGAGGUAUUGGUGGGAAUAACCAAGAAUUACUAUUCUCGGAUAAAAAAUUAGUGUUUGGGUAUAAAAGGGGGAUAAGGGCCUAUUCCUAUCACUAUGUAGCCUAAUUUACUAUCUAAUUAAAUGAAGCAGUGGCAUGCUACUAUUUCUCAAAAAAAAAAAAAAAAAAAAAAAAAAAUAAAAAAAAAAAAAAAAAAAAAAAAAAAAAAAGGGUAAUUUUUACUGAAACCAAAUUCACCUUCUGUUUCUCUUUUCUCCUUUUCUUUUUCUUUUCUUUUCUCUCGUGUUUUCUUGUAGACUUCCUUAACUGAUGUCGAAACACUGUAUUUUAUUUUUAAUUAAUUGACGAUUUUUUUUUCCUCUUUCCAAAAGGAAAAAAGAAAAGAAUCUUUAAACUAAGAUGUAUGAAUUUGGUUUCAAGGUAAGGAUGAGGAUUAAAAUUUUCAUUAUUUUACCAAAAAGUCUCCACCAUCCUUAUAUUUUUUGAGCAAGAGAAAUAAAAGAAAGUAAACUUUUCUAUAAGUUUUUUGAGAAAUUAACUCAACUAGAAAUGCGAAACAACUAAUUUUUAAAUUUAGAAUCUUUGGUACCAACCAUUAAUUAGUCUCAGAUAUCAAUUAUUAAAUCUUUAACCAAUUUCACUAGAUACAGUCAGUACGUAGUAGUCUCUAUCUGCUUAUUGAUGUGAUGAGAUAGUGUGUUGGAUUAAUAAAGUAAAUUUUGGACGAACCCUGAAUUUUAGCUUGCGGUCGUAGUUUCUACUUAUAGCCUUCUGUGUGUGCGUGUUAAUGUCUAACGUGAGUUGGACCAGAAAUAGAUAAAAAUUAUAGGACUCAGAAGACAAAACCUUCCACUAGGCUUUUCUAGUAUACCAAAGGAACAAAUUAAACGAUCUUAUAUAGCAAUAUGAAUAAACUUCUCCUAUAUAGAUAUAGUCCAUAUUUUUAUCUGUGUUGGAACCCAAUUAAGUAAUUUACAUUAACCUCAUCCUACAAAAUGAGAUAUAAAUAGUUCACAGUAAGUAAACAGCUCACUUCAACUAAUACUUGAUAUUCAUGUCAAAUUAAGCUGAGUACCCUCGCACAAAGUACAAACAGUGGGAUAAUUAAUAAUACAUAUUCAAACUCGGAAUACGAAGCAAGUAACGAGCGAGGGAGAGAACCAUGCACACAACAGCCCUUUUUGUGACUUAAUUACAAGCUUAUACAGGAGCAAACAAGCACUUAAUUAAUUAGAUAGAGCUAGUUAUGCUGUCCGAUCCCGUGUCAGAGAGUUCGGAAUGAGGCAUUGAUGUGAGAGUUGGGUAGAGGGCGUACCGGGCAAUACCACAUAAUCCAGAAAAUGAUCCGGAUUCUCUUUGCAGCCUUAUGUACCCAGCUUCGCCCCAGUUUUGGCCCCAUGAGUUCUUUAUGAUCCAAAAUUUGUCUCCAGUCGUAUCGUCUUCUCCAUAUCCUAUAAUCGUGAUGGCAUGGUUAAUUUUGGUUCCACAAGGUCCUUUAAAGAUACCA
This 65335-nucleotide long non-coding RNA is filed under the name Ananas comosus (pineapple). RNAcentral describes it as "long non-coding RNA (ACOM_LNC008223)". Lineage: Eukaryota; Viridiplantae; Streptophyta; Magnoliopsida; Poales; Bromeliaceae. The record is from RNAcentral.